CUCACAUUCAUUUAAUUUGAUAUAUCAAACAAAUAUUGCUAUAAAUCAAACAUUGAACUUAUAGCAAUGCAAUAUGCAGCCUGUGGAAAACAACAAAAAAACAAAACAGACAAUAAUUGGCAAUACUAACUUCUACCAAAAAAUAAAGAGAAACUUGAUCCAAAAUAUCCAUCCAUUAAAUAGCUUCAGUGCAUUAUGCAAGGGAUAAUUACACCUAGUCCAUUCGAAGCCAAAUAUCGUUGCAUCUAGAGUAAAAACAUUAACAUUUUGAAAAAAAACUGAUUGGUUUACCAAUAUAAUUCUGCAACAAAAGGGCGAAUAGAUACACAUAGCAACAAUCAUGCACCGUGUGGAAAAUUUUGAAAUCUUUUUUUGUUGUGUUGCAACAUAAAGAGUGAUCAGUGAAACAAGACUUAUCAGUGAUCACAUCUAGGUUCUGAACAUUUCUGUUCUCACGGAAUUAGUCCGAACAGUUCUGAACCUGUCCAUUUAUCCGAAGCUUGAAUGGUUCUGAAAUCUAUCGUGAUGUUUGCUUGUCCAAAGUGUUACCUGGGAAUUGGCAAAUUUGCACAGGUUGGCCAGAAAGAAGCUCUCUGUCUGCUGCAGCUCACCAUCAUCUUCCCCGAGGUCAGCAUGUUUUCGCUGUAAACCGCAGCGAGGAAGGCGGAGACCACCUGGUGCUGGAGUGAGUUCCACUCAGCUAUGUGCAGCAAACUCACUGAAAUAAAUUGUUGCAAGCCAUAGCGGAUUACUACUGCAUUGCCUCCUUCGAUCAUCAGACAAUCAGUUUCUAGCUACCUUAGCCAUAAAAAAAAAAUCAGAGUGUUGUGAAUUUACCUUAUGUGCAUGGCGUCAUCAGCAGUCCACUUGGCUCACCCUAGACAAAAGAACCUCGAAUUCAAGCAAAAGCCAUAAUUUUCACUUCAUAAUAAACUCAGUAAUUUCAAGCCUGAAGAUUAAUUGUCAUCAACAGUGAGAUCAAUGUUGGUGUCACCCAGUCACUGUCAAUAGCAACUCGGUACGGGCGUGCUUGUUAUCCAAGCUGAAGUACCUGGGGUUGCCCAGGUCAGCAAAGUACCUGGGGUUGAAGAAAAUCUUUAAAUCUUACCCAUGAUACACUCCUAAAAAGUUUCUGAAAACUGCUUGGCCCCAUCUUUAUUACAUCAUCUGUUGGAACCCUUAUUCUCUGAAGCACUUAUCUAUUCUCUGUGCUAUUUAUGUAGCUAAGAGAACAAUUCAAGUUAUGUUACAAAUGCAUUAUAGCAACUUCAAAUAAUAUAUAUGGAAUGUGCAGCUUCAAACAAGUUACAUGUUCGCUGAACUCAAGGAGCAGGUUUGUCAAACAAGAGAUGUACACCAUAUGACCAACACCUACUCUGCCUAGCGACCUGCAUAAAUAUAUUAUCAAUGUAUCAAAUUCAAGUGCAUGGUAAAGACAGAUGAGUUGGCAUAGGAAACAACCAUUUUGUGAGAAAGUAAACUUCUGUGAAGAAUAAUCAGAAAUGAUGGAAUUUAGAAGACUUAAGAGUCAAUGGCUCAAUGCCAUGAUUUUUAAUGUAUUGAAACUAUUUGUUAAACACGUCAGUUUUUAAAUUCCAUUUACAAAAGUUCAAAAUGCAUGCCUAUUACAUAGCAUGGGAUUACAAGGGGCAUAAGUAAUAAAGAUUGUAAUACUGCGAGGAAUAAAAUCAUUGUUCACACUAUUUUUCAAAUAUCUCAGGUACUUCAAUAUUUUAUUUGCAUAAAUGAAUAUUGGGCAGUAAGAAUGAAUGAAACGGUGGUCUAUAUGGAAAUUUGGCAGGUUGUGACAGUUAUCUGGGAAGAAAUUUCGCGGAGGAUAUUGUGCUGAUCCAUUCCUGUACUAAGGAACCAAAAUGGCAGUUUGUUUAACUAAAAACAAAAAUCAAAUUGGCAAGCAUUAUGUGGUUUCUCACACCUGUAUUCAUGAUAAAAUUAUCGAAUAUUUUAGCUGUAGCUGAUGUUCAACGAAAUUGGCAAGCAUGAUUAUAACCGAUGAUUCAACGAAAAAUAAUAAUUUCAAAAAAGCAAAGCACUAAUUAGGCGCUGCCUCCAGAGAGGCCCGACUGUGUGCCUCCCAUAGGGCAUCUUUAGAUUCUUUUUUUUUUAAUGGAUGCAGCUAACCGGCAGGGGGUCGCCUGCCGUGCCCCGACAAGGGGAUCUUUUCACUGCUCUUUUUUCCUUUUCAGCUGAACGGCAGGGGGAACACGCCCGGCCGUGCGCACAGAGACGAUCUUUUCGCUGUAUUCAGUCGGGGUGGGUGCCCCCCGGGGAGGCGAUGGAAUAGAAUCGACCCGCGUUGAUAAACAGGUCGCGCUGUCUCUGAAUCGGCGGUGUGGGACAAAACUCGAUUGCUGGAUGGAUUCAGUCCGAGCCGGAAGCGCGGCGCGCGGACCGACCUAGGAGUAGAAGAGGGCGAGGCGUACCUGCUCUCCACGGAAGCCGGCGGCGAGGGCGCCGCCAAUCUGGCCGGAGCUAAAAGUUUCCCGCCGGCCGGCCGCCGUCGCCGUCACCGAUGCCGCGGAGACUACGCCCGUGGGACCCAGAUCGUCCGCCCAAAGGGCACACCCGCAGCCGGCUGAUCGCCGCCGGACGUCGGGAAGCGGCGCCGUCGGAGGAGAGCGAGAGACAAGGGGAGGGGGAAGCGGUGGCAUGUGGAUGUGGGAUCGAUGAAGUAUGAGGCCAUAUUUCACUCGUCUGGGCUGGAGCCCAAGCUGCUCAAGGCCCAGUUCACGCCUGGGUUGUUCUUUUUUUUUUUUUCCCAAGGACUGGUUUUUUUGUGCUCAAAGUUGGUGGGGUUGUUAGUUUGGAAGUUGCUGACUAUGGCCUGGUUUAGUUUUCAAAUUUUUUCUUAAAAACAUCACAUCAAAUCUUAGGACAUGUGCAUAGAGCAUUAAAUAUAGAUAAAAAUAAAAACUAAUUCCACAGUUUGUAUGAAAAUUGCGAUACGAAUCUUUUGAGCCUAAUUAGUCCAUGAUUAGCUAAGUGCUACAGUAACUUACAUGUGCUAAUGAUGGCUUAAUUAGACUCAAAAGAUUCGUCUUGCGGUUUCCAUGCGAGUUAUGAAAUUAGUUUUUUCAUUCGUGACUGAAAACCCCUUCCAAUAUCCGGUCAAACAUCUGAUGUGACAUCCAAAAAUUUUCUUUUCGCGAACUAAGUAGGUUCUUCAACUUUUGCAGAAUACAGAGUUAAGCCUAGGUUUCUAGUAGUCAUUAGUUGUUCGUAGAUCUUCGUGGCCAUUAACCAUUACUCCUCUGUUACAUAGUAUAAAUUGUUUGAUAUUUUUCCUAAUCAAAAUUUUUAAGUUUGAUUAAUUUUUUUAAAAAACAAGAUAGUGGUAUUUUUAACACAAAACAAAUGUAUUAUCAAAAUAUAUUUAAUAUUACAUUUAAUGAAAUUAAUUCGACAUUAUAGAUAUUGCUAAAUUUUUCUAUAAAUUUGAUCAAACUUAACAAAGUUUGAUUAGCGACUAAAAAUAUGAAACAGUGGGAGUAGAAAUUUGAGUUAGUGGUGUGUAUUUUCUUUCUUAGAAAUGGAAACCAUCCCAUUCGAUGGCACGCUUUGUAGGAUCGUAAACGGUGCAAUUUUUUCGCAAAAAAAAAGACUUCUACUAUAUAUAUGAAUUUUUAAAGGAUGUUUAAAUCAAUCUUUUAGCUCUAUGAUAGUUAAUUAAUUCGUUUUGCAUAUUCGAAUAGUUAACACAAAAUCUUUCAACAUUCAGCUAUGAAGAAAAAAAAGAAAGACCCCAAUCUCAGACGUUCCAUGCAAUUCAUAAAUAUAUUCCAUCAAAAAACGGAUUCACAAACUAUCUUCAAUCCUCUAUCUAAAACAGGGACCAUAUUGACUACUCUUCCUAAUCUUUUCCUCCUACUAACUUUUUACAUGCUAUGAUACAGUAGAUGAGAUCUUAUACACAGAUACACAUGUACAAAUAUAUAUAGCUGGGUAUUUUUUUUCCGUUUCAUUUCAGAAGCAUGUAAUCAUCAUCGUCAUCAACAUCGCCGUCGCCGUCGAUCGUGGCCGAUGGGCCACAGAACAUGCCGCCCUGUCGCCGGAAAUGGAUGAGGGCGACGGGGAGCGUGCAGAGGAGGCUGGUGAUGCCGGUGCAGGAGAUGGCCUCCUCCACCGUGUACCUGGACCCGCUGAAGAAGAGCCGGUUCGUCACGAUCGCCCCCACCGCGCCGCCGCUCGCCGUCAUGCCCGACACCACGCCCAGCGACCUGCGUGUAUUCACGCACCCACCAAAUCAGCCAAAAACAUUUAAAAUGGGCACUGAAAAUAGGUUAGUGAAAUAAUUCAGCAAUUUUAUAAAAUUGUAUGAUUUGAGAAGGAGAUAUGUUUUUAACUUUUUAGCCGUCCCAGUAAGCCAUCUCCAUUAGACCUUACCCCCUACUUAAAAAAGACAAAUCCUAGAUAUAAAUUUGGAUAAGUAAUUACUCAGAAAUUUAUAGCUAGGAUCUGAUUCUUUUAGGGACUGAGGGUGUAGACGAUGGAUCCAUUCAUGCAUGGUAAAACAUGGGUACACGCAACAACAUUUUGAGCAUGCAUCGCUGUCGUCAAUUAUUUUCAACCUUCACGUUUUAGAAAACGUUGGUUAAUUUUGUUCAUCUCGGUCCACCAGAUUGAAUCCUCCGGUUGCUUUCUUCAAUAAUUAAGUGUAUAUAGUCGGAUGCUGUGGACGUCAAGAGUAGCGCUACCCACAGAUUCUGUUUUAGAUUCUCUAAGAUCCUACCAAUUGUUAUGGCUGGCCGACGUCCUUGUACUACUUGGUAGUUGGCCAGUGUGAAUCUGUGUGUGAUGACCUCUCGUGUAUCAGAGCCAUCAUCUUCUACUCGAAUGAAUCCAUAAUAUUUAAUAAAAGGGGCAAUUAAAAUAUAAUAAAACCUUAUUGGCGUAGCAAAUUAUGUGUGGUUGAAGCUAAAGUGUAAUUAAGAAGAUUUUUUAGUUAGUUAAUUAAUUUAAUUUAAUUACCUUUUGCAGACGAAGGGAACGAUGCCGAAGGUGAGGCCGGAGGCGGCCUGCACGAACGCCGCGCACGCCACCAUGACGGCCACGGUCGCCGCCAGCGACGGCGCCUCCGCGGCGCCCAUCCUGCCGACGAGCACACAGAGCGCGGCGCCGGCGCUCUGCACGGCCCACAGCGCCCACAGCCGCCCGCGCAUCCCGAACCGCCUCGCCACCUCGUCGGAGGCCACCCCUCCGGCCGGCCGCGCCACCGCGUUCAUCGCGCCGAAGCACGCCGCGGCGGCGCCCGCGGCCUCCAUGGGCAGCCGGAACCGCCUGCGGAAGAAGUCCGCCGCCACGUUCUCCAUGAUCAGCUCCACGCCGUAGCAGUGGCCGUAGGUGAGGCCCAGCAACCACGCUCGGUAGUCGCCGACGCCGCCCCGCACCACCGCCCAGAAGCUCCUCCUCCGCCCGCCGCCGCCGCCGGGGCAGCGACCACCGCCGCCGCCCGGGAGGUCGUAGGGGAAGGCGAGCACGGCGAGGCCCGUGGUGACGAGCAUGGCGCACGGGAGUAGGUAGGUGACGCGCCACGCGACGGUGACGGGGACGCCGAGGCGGAGCACGACGGCGUCGUAGGCGACCGGCAUGACCACCUGCGCGGCGGCGCUGCCGACGUUCGCCCACCCGGCGGCGACGGCGUUGGCGAGCCCCACGGCGGAGGGCGCGAAGAUCCGCGACAUCCAGUGCUGGUUGGCGACGAAGUUGGCGAGCGAGAGGCCAGCCACGAACCGGAGCGCGACGAACCCCGCGGGGGAGGACGCGAACACGGCGGCGAGCGCGAGCGCCAGCGCGCACACGAGGCUGGCGACCCCGGACGCGCGGCGCGGGCCGAGGAGGUCGCAGGCGGGGCCCAUGGCGAGCCUCCCCACCAGCGUCGCCGAGAGCGAGGCCACGGCGGCCGCCGAGGCGUCGGAGGGCGCGAGCACGAGCGCCGGGCGCAUCGCCGGGAGGAUGGGCGGCGCGGCGAAGGCGGCGAAGAAGCACGCGAAGAGGGACAUCCACGCCAGGUGGAACGCCUGCGUGUGCGGCCGCGACAGCGCCAUCGGCCGCAGCUCCGUCGCCCUCCCCUCGUCGUCGACGACGCCAUCGCCAUAGCCGCCGUAGUCGUAGUAGUAGCAGCCAUCUUCUUCUUCCACCAGCUUCGUCUUCUUCUCCAUGGCGACCAUGGAGAUGGAGGGGCAGAGCUAGCUCGAAUUCGUGGCGGAAAUUAAACGAUGGAAUCAAUUAACGAGCUGGCCAAUGAGGGGAGGGGUUUAGAUUUUGGCGCGAGCGGUGGUGGUGGUGGUGGGGUGGUGGCGCGAGCGGUUUAAAUACGAGGAGAUCGCGGGGAGGAGAGAGGCCACGUAUACGUAGGAGGGCGGUGGGGUUUCCAAGGUGGAAGCAAGUAGUAGCUAACAGGUGUCACUGGCAAGUGGGCCCUGGAGAGGGUGGGGCCCACAUGUCAGUCAGCAUGUCGUUCUAUGCAAGCGCGGUGCGAUUUGCAUCAACGAUCAUUGAUUAAUUGUAUCAAGAAGCUACUAAGCUGGGCGCCGCGUGCAUGGGCGUGUGGCUCCCGGGGGGCUUGAAAAGGGAUGAACGUUUAUACUAGUAGCCUAAUUACGUGAUGAACUGACGAUGAUGAUGACAAAUUAAUCAGGGCCGGACGAACGGGAGGUUUUUGAUUAAAUGAUCGACCGUGACUCGUCGUAUCGGUCGUGCUGCUAGCUGCCCAGGGUGUUGUACUGUUGUGUGUGCAUGUCUCAGCAUCUUUGAUAUGAUGUAGCGCGGUCGUGUGUGCACUGUCCAACGGUAUGGACCAUCUAAAAAAAAUCUCUGUUUGGUAUAGAGCAAGUGAUGAUCGAAUUAAUGGCUCCUUUUUCUUUCAAGGGAAAAAAAAUCUCUGUGUGCAAUAUCAUCAUGCAUCUCUCAUUCUCUCGUGUAUGGCCGUAUAGUCCUUAAAGUUUGUAUCUCAGUAUCAUGAGCGAAUGAUACUCAAAAAAAGAAAAAAAAUUGAAGAAGUAUCAUGAGCGAAUGACGCGGGAUGUCGAAAAUUUCAUUCUUCGCCAGCUCUUUUUAUUUUUUUGGGGGUUGUUUAAAAAAGCUGUUAAAAAUAAGACUGAAACUGAAAAUAAUUUAGGGCUCGCUUGAUUUGGAGAAAAAAAACAUAGAAAUUUUAGAGGAUUUCAAUCCUAUAGGAAAAAUUUUAUAUGAAUGCCUUUGAACCAAAUGAUUGAAUCUUAUCCAAUCUUUUAAAAUUCCUAUGGAAUGGACAAAUCCUAUAGAGAUUUUAGAGGAAAAUAGAAAGAUCUUAAAGCUCUUGGAAUUUCUUUGAGUCUAUCUCUCUUAUCCGAUUCCUGUGUUUUUUCAGCGGUCCAAUCAAACGGUUGUUAACGACCAAAUUUGGUAAAUUCUAUCACUAUUGGCAUCGGAGAUGAAGAUCAGAUCGAAGUGGAAUCCAAGAUGAAGAUCGUUGCGGAAACAGAGUAAGAAUCGGCUGCAGUCCAAAUCGGCUAAGGUCAGGUCGGCAGAGUUCGAGUCGGACGGGGCUAGCCGAUACAGCCGAUUCUGAUAAUAUGACUCGGUGUAUGUCAUCGGGUUCAAGUUGAUGUGCUUCAAGAUGAUUUCCACUCAUGGAUAGAGUCCUGGGAAGGCAAUUGUAUUUAUUAAUUAGGAUAUUCUAUGUGAUUUCCUUAGAGAUAUGUUUGGGCAAAAGUCUGCCGUAAAGACUUAUGAUAUCUUAGAGUUUGUUAGAGAUAAUAGUCGUGUCCAUUAUGGGCGUAUCUUGUAAUUCUCGGGUAUAAAUAGACCCGAGCCCUAUGUAAAAAAAGGACAACACAUCCAAUACAAUCUCGGCGCAUCGCCACCCUUUUUGCUUUACUUUUAUUUCGACGAGUUCGUGCUCUCGGGUUGAGCUGCAUCGGUUUCGAUCUUCAACAAGAGAUAAAACUUGUCAUGAUGACUUAUGUUCUCAGGAUUAGUGUCUCCAUCUUUAUGAUACUCUAAUGUUGUCUAUAUGAUUCGUCGAGUUAUCAUAUAUCUCACAUAAUCUUCGAUAAUAUCUUUAUCUAACCUAUAAUCGACUAACAUCUGUCAAUGGAAGGCAGCCGGUUAGGUUAGACAAUGACGUUAACUUAUGGCCGAUGAGUAUCAUAACCUUAUGGCCGAUGAAAGGGAAGAUCUGGUUCAAUCACGGCUACGAGCCCUUGCAAAGGUUACUAGGGAUAAGGAGCGAGUUGCCCGGCAUUAUAAUAAGAAAGUAGUACCCAAGGACUUUUUGGAAGGUGAACUUGUAUGGAAGUUGAUUCUGCUGAUUGGGACUCGGGAUAACAAAUUUGGCAAGUGGUCGCCGAAUUGGGAAGGACCGUUCCAAAUUCAUAAGGUGAUGUCUAAGGGAGCAUACAUGUUGCAAGGACUUGAUGGAGAAGUUUAUGGCCGAGCUCUAAAUGGAAAAUACUUGAAGAAAUAUUAUCCCAGUGUUUGGGUUAAUGCAUGAUCGGCUAGUGUUGCUGAUACAUCAUAACCGAUGUGUUUGCAUCGCUUUGAGAUGGCCGAUAUUGUUAUAUCGCCCUUAGUUGCUUUUCACUAUUGUCAUCGGUUGUGGUUUGCCGAUGUACAAAUGGCCGGUAUUGUUAUAUCGCCCUUAGUCGUUUCUAUAAUUUUGUCAAUAUUUUCAACAUUGUAAAAUUAGGGGGGCACAUACAUAGAAAAUUGCAACUUUUUGAAAAUUGCAAAUUUUUGAACAUUGCAAAUUUUUGAAAAUUUUUGAACAAGCUGGCACAAGGAUGGCACAGGGAUUGUAUUAACAGCAAAGUAAUUAGGGUGUUUUAGCCGAUUACAACAGUUUUCUACAGACUAUUACAUGGAAGUCACUGAGACAAGUAUCGUUGGAUAGCCGAUAUAGCCUUUUGCCUAAUCUGAUCUAUUUCUUCGAUAGCUUGGGCGUCUUGAGCAUCGGUUCCAGGAAUGACUUUCAAGGAUUUACUCAUCUCAGCAACGUUCUUGAUAGCUGAUUUUAGCCUUGCCUUCUGUUCUUCGACAGCUUGCGGGAGAUCAGCUAACUUUUUGUGCUCUAGAUCCAGUUCAGCAUUGCAUUCUUGAAGUUGUGCCAAGAGUUCAAUCUUGCGAGCUUCAAGCCGAUCAAUAUUAGAUUUGAUUGGGCCUUCAGAUAACUGAUCAAGCUUGGCUUUCUCUUCAUGAACAAGCUGCCGAUUGGUUUGGAUUGUAGCCUCGAUGUCCUUGCGCUCCCGGCGAUCGGCUAACAUCUGCCUGGCUUUCUCCAGUUUGAAUUGAUGCUACUCGAGGUAGACAGCUGGAGUAAGAGCAUCGACUAAUUCGUCCGGAAGAGAGGCUUGGAUAUCUACAAAUCUUGCCCGGAUUGAGCCACAGUUGGUCACCAGGUUAUCCAGUGACGCUCCUAGCCGAUGGGAGAUGUCUUCGAGUGUUUUUUCACAUCAUCAGACAGGAGAGCUGUUGCUUUGCUGGUGGUGUCUUCUUCUGUUUCAUCGAGGUAAUCUUUGAUGUCAAAGGAGAACAGAUCGGCUAAGACCUGCAAGAGAUAAUAUCAUGGAUGAUUAAGGAUCAAGAUAUGAUUGGCCGAUCUCAAAUUUAUGUUAAUAAAACUUACUGGAAUAGUAGGUGCAGCUAAUUGUUCCUCCUCUUCAACAUGAUGACUGCCUACAGCCGAUAGAGUGCGGCUGCCUGAUUCUGCCUGCACAAGAGGGGAAGAAGGAGGAGGAGGCUGCCAAAGGGAUAAAUGUUAGAUAUAAUCAGCCCAAGUCAGUUAAUGAGAUGAUAGAAGUAUCUUACUGGUGGAGCUGGUUUAGGGGCUGGAGUAACCGAUUUCUUCCUCACAGCAAUUUUCUUUCUCUAUAUUUAUUAAAAUUGUGAGGAAUCGGCUAUAAAGUAAAUGAUUGCAAAAGUGGACAGAGAAAGUUGCUUACCCUUGCUAAUUGAGCUGGAGCAGAAGGGAAUGGAGGAGCCUGCUUAGGUGAAGCCGAUGGUGUUCUUUCAGUAUCGCUUAUUUCGGCUGCAGCUUGGUCAAUGUCUUCCCCGAUUUCUUCUUCAUCCAGAGCUUGUUCGAUGGAUGGAUCUAGGGCGGGUAGAUCGUCAGCUGGCUUAGCUUUCUUUGUCUUAGCCUUCUUCUUCGGAGCCGGGGCUGAAGUAUCUGUAGCCGAUGAUCUGGUUCUCCGCUUCUUGUCGGCAUCGGCUGGUUCUCUGAUGAGCCCUUGAAGAAGUGCUGAAGUCUUGGGGGCAUUGAAGCUGAUGGUAGAAAGAGAUGGCCCACCUCCAUUUGAAAUUAGACCUAGAGCAUACUUAAUGACCUUGCCGCUAUUGCUCUGGCGAGGAGGAGAAGAUUCCGUUGUCUGCAAAACAGAAGAAAAGUUAGUCAAGGUUCAAAUCGGCUGAAUGACUAUUCAAGCAAGAUUGAAGAAAUGAAGAUUAACCUGAGGGAUAGCAUCAGGGAAUAAGUCUGUCAUGUACAUGGAAGCCGAUUGAUGGAACAGAUGUAGCUUCCACUCGCCCCACCAUCUGUCAAAUGCCCUGCUCCUGAGUCUUGCUAACUUUAUGUUUUCAAUGCUGCCUAAUGGGGGUCCAGGGAUGUUCAAUAGCCGAUCCAUCAUCAAGGUUGAAGAGAUAUUGCCUCUGCACUGGAUCUUGUCGGUAAAGUACAGGCCGAUUGGCAAUUGUCCCAUUCCGAGCUGUCUGGCCGAUGACAUUGGAUGAUAAAACUCGUAAGAGACCUGAAUAUUUCUCCCUUGAUGUAUGCCAACUGGGAGGAUACAUGGGCUGAUGGCAGUAGUGAAGAUUUCUCUAGAUUGCUGAAACUUUUCAUGAUUAAUGUCUUCAAACCUGAAAUCGGCUGGCAGUUCGAAAUCCAUUGAGUCGGCAUAGAAGAACCAAAUUCGGGCAUCUUUUUGGAACCCGUCAUAAAAGCUGAAGAACCAGUCCUUCAGAAGUUCAGCCGAUAACUUUGCUCCUGCAUCGGCUGGUGUAGAUGCAUAUUCUCCGUAUGACAUACAUCUGCGAUGGGUGCGUUUUUCUCCAUCAUCUUCCAUAAUCGGCUCCAACCUUGGAAAUUCAGCUUCUGUCACAGAUGGCCGAUUGACAACUUUCAUGACUACCAGGUUCAGCCAGGAUUGCAAGAGCCACCAUGGUCCACCUGUUCCAACCACUGAGCCGACAAUUAUCUUGGCCGAUGCGUUGUUUAAUAUCUGGUAUAGAUAGCCGAGAAGGAUUUUGCCUAAGGGAAAUUGUUUCUUCGUUACUAGGGCCUCGGCUAAGAAUUGCCAGUUGGUUGUAGGACCGUAGCUUGAUCUGCAAAAAAGGAAUUUUUCCAACCACAUCAGCAAAAAAGCUACGUGUUCUCUAGGAGUGACUGGCCCUUUGCCCAUAUAUGCUGUGAUAUAUCCUGACCAACCCCCAAUGCUCUUAGUUUUGAACUCAAAAGUAUUCUUGGUGUUCAGGUUCAUGGGGUUAGCUGAUGAGGUUACAUCUAGGCCAGUGAGCAUGAUAAUAUCCAGCAGCGUUGGGGUCAUCGGCCCUUGGUUGAAAAGAAAAGCAUUGAGAGUGUUGGACCAGAAAUAAGUUGCAGCAGACAUCAGGGGUUCAUCUUUGGCCGAAUUUGCUAUUGUGAGGGCUAGGGCUUGGCUGAUUCUGAUCUCAUCCCAAUGGGCUUGUUUGCUACCCGAUAUCCGCUUAUACCAUACAAACCAGCUUUUCUCCAAAGAAGGCCAGGAUUUGAAGGUGUUUUUCCAAUGGCUCGUGGUUGGAUUGGCCGACCUAAAAGGGGUUCUGUUGGUUUCGGCUAUGAUAAACUCAGUGGGGUCUAGAUUGUCGAUUGGACCAAGAAAGUAUUGUUGGUCAUGCAACAGACUAGGAACUGCAACAAGAUUGGAAAGAUGCUACAAGAAUAGAGAAGAAGAAAACAAGAUAAGGUGAGUGAAAAUCGGUCUGAUGAACGGAAAAGGGGAUCUAGCCGAUGGGGCUUACCUCAGCAUAUUCGGUUGAUGAUGCGGCGGUUGGAUUGGUGGAGGUCGACAUCGUCGCGGGUGGAGAUCUGGCCGGGAGUGGAAUCGCCUGGAAAUCGCCCUGUGCGUCGAGGAGGUCGCCGGAGAGAGAGAGGACGGGAUCUGUUUAAGUGGUGAAGACGGAAAUCACGGCGUAAAGAUUUUUUGGGGCAACGGUUAGUAUUUAAAGCAGAGCGAUAACGGUCAGAAAAACAACAAGUGCGAGUUUCUCUCAGAGUCGGUAUAUGGCAAAUCCGAAACAUUAUCCAAUAUUCCGGACUUGGGGGGCAUGUGUUAACGACCAAAUUUAGUAAAUUCUAUCACUAUUGGCAUCGGAGAUGAAGAUCAGAUCGAAGUGGAAUCCAAGAUGAAGAUAGUUGCGGAAACAGAGUAAGAAUCGGCUGCAGUCCAAAUCGGCUAAGGUCAGGUCGGCAGAGUUCUAGUCGGACGGGGCUAGCCAAUAUAGCCGAUUCCGAUAAUAUGACUCGGUGUAUGUCAUCGGGUUCAAGUUGAUGUGCUUCAAGAUGAUUGCCACGCAUGGAUAGAGUCCUGGGAAGGCAAUUGUAUUUAUUAAUUAGGAUAUUCUAUGUGAUUUCCUUAGAGAUAUGUUUGGGCAAAAGUCUGCCGUAAAGACUUAUGAUAUCUUAGAGUUUGUUAGAGAUAAUAGUCGUGUCCGUUAUGGGCGUAUCUUGUAAUUCUCGGGUAUAAAUAGACCCGAGCCCUAUGUAAAAAAAGGACAACACAUCCAAUACAAUCUCGGCGCAUCGCCACCCUUUUUGCUUUACUUUUAUUUCGACGAGUUCGUGCUCUCGGGUUGAGCUGCAUCGGUUUCGAUCUUCAACAAGAGAUAAAACUUGUCAUGACGACUUAUGUUCUCAGGAUUAGUGCCUCCAUCUUUAUGAUACUCUAAUGUUGUCUAUAUGAUUCGUCGAGUUAUCAUAUAUCUCACAUAAUCUUCGAUAAUAUCUUUAUCUAACCUAUAAUCGACUAACAUCUGUCAAUGGAAGGCAGCCGGUUAGGUUAGACAAUGACGUUAACUUAGAUUAUGUGAUAUAUCUACCACUCUACGAAACUUCCAACGGCUUGAUUGUCUAGAUAUUAUGUUUCUUUUCAUACUUAGUGCUGCAUCAGUUAAGUUUGAUCUACUAAGUCGUGCUUAGAACUACAAUCUCUAGCCUGCUUUCUGGUUGCCGAUUAGGGUAGUAUCGGAGUUUCAGCCGAUCUUAUCUGAUUUAACUACUUUUAUUCCAUAUGCUUAAUCUAUAUGUUAAAUCUGCCCUUUAUGUUAAGAUCUUAUCGCAUCUAAGUAUAUUAGACUUAUGUUUGAUAUAUUCUACUUGCUUUAACAUCUUAAUAUAGAGUGGUAUCGGAGUAUUAGCCGAUACAUGCUAGAUCCAUUUGAUCGGCUAUGCUAUAAAUGUAUAUAGUCCCACUAUUAAUAUAUAUUUCGAUCUAAGUGAUUUAUACUGUCUCGGCAAGGUGACCGAUCUGUCCCGAUCACUUGAUUUAAGUAUAUAUCGAUAUAAGGAUUAUAUAUCAUUAAUAUCUACAGCCGAUCGAGUAGAUUUAGUUCUAAUUUGUUUAUUGAUAUUUGCCGAUCGAUGUACGCAUGACAUCGGCUUGAAAUAAAUGAUAUGUCAUCGGCACCUAACCGAUCGGCUAUCAUUUAUAGGAUUGAUUGCGGUUUCUUUGUUCUAUUUCUUGUUGAUUGCAGGAUCAAAUCAACUGGCACGCUCAUACAUCCGAAGGCGAGUUUUGGACCUGCACUGGAGUUAAGCAGAUCUCCCAGGCCUCGUGUUUUCUGUCAACAACGGUCAUUCCUAUAUUUUGUAAACUUCGAUUUUACACUUUCAUUUCUAUUAGAAUUGUAUUUAUUUAUGCUUAGCUAAUGGUUAGAAUUAACUUUUUUUUUUUGCAGAUCAACUAGUACUGGCGCCUUGUGUAACUGAGGUACUUAGUUACUGUUGAUCUUUUUAGGCUGACGGAGACACAAAAUGGUUCCACCAUUUGGGAAUUGGGAGACUAGUAGCUAGGCAGAAGCUGCUUCAUUGCAGCAUAGUUAGCAAUUUAUAACUACUACAGAGCUCACUUGUGGUUCUUACGUUCAAGCCAGCUGUAAGUUUACAACCCGCUUCUCCUCUCUCUCCUCUCUUCUCUCUUUCACCUCAAAUAUUUAGCCGACUUACAGCCUUAUGUGAUGCUUGAUCUUACUUGUGUUUCACUGUACUUAUGCGUUGCCGUCGUUCUUUGAUUACGUAGGCAGCGGCUAGCUAGCCCAUGCAUGAUCCAGGAAUAAUAAAACACUAACGGGUAAUAGCUGCACUAAUAUGAUUGGUGGUUGCCUUGUCACCCUAGUUAACCUACUAAUCGCGCUCGCCUUCACCUAACCGUAACUUCCAGAACUCUCCCUUCUCUUGCGCAAGCACCAAACCUCGUCGUGUACCCCCGAUUAAACAUCAGCUAAUCACCCUUAAUUAACCUAAUUAACGUCGCCACGUAGGACCAGUGGGCCCCACGAAAGGGGACACGAGGACGGCUGCGGGGGAAGGAGGUGGGCCCAGGCGCGCGCGGAGCCACCAGCUCAGCAUCUGGGGGUGGGGCCCAUCAGCCCAUGGGCCCCAGAAUCAAGGGCCUUGGGUCUCUCCGGGAGGGCGAGGGGUUGGCGCUCGUGUCCCCGCGUUGCAGCUUCAGUAGCCGGAGGGGAUCCGAUUGGACGCCGAUAAAUUCCUGAAUCUCCCCGUGAAUCUCUUGCUGCCUCCUCGGAGCGUCGUUUAGGCAAGUUUAUACAGGAGAUUAGUGGCAAAAUGCUAUUGUCAAAUUCGUUUGUCAUAUGACAAAAGUUGACGAUGGGAAUGUGUUCGUAUCAUCACCAUUCAGAGGGGUUUGCUUAGUUUCAGCAGUACGAGAAAAACCGGGAAAUAGAGCUCUCGCGCCGCUCUCACGCGGGCGGCUCGGGAGCGAAACCCUAGCCGCCCGCGCCACCCCCUCCCAACGCCUCCAGCCACCUCGCCGCCGCCGGAGCCCGCCGCCGGAACCGUGCGACCAGCCGGGAAGGCGGCGGCGGGGAAAACGUACCGGCGGCGGAGCAUCCCCUUGGCGUGGGAGGCGGCGCGACGCACGCACGGCGGAAGGCGGCGGCCGGAGCGGCCGGCGGGGCUGAUCCGGUCGCGCCGGACGCGGAUCCGGCCUCCCCGGUGGAGGAUCUGGCCCCCCGGCGGCUAGAUCGGGAGAGGGGCGGCGGCGGCGCGGCAAGACGGCGGGCGGCCUCAAGCUCGCGGCGACGGCGACGCGGCAAGUCGGCGGGUGGCCCGAGCUCGCGGCGACGGUGGCGCGGCAAGACGGCGGGCAGCCUCGAGCUCCCGACGACGGCGGUGCGGCAAGACGGCAGGCGACCUCGUGCUUGCGGUGACGACGGCGCGACCUCGAGCUCGCGACAGCGGGGCGCGACUCGGCGGAAUAGCUCGCGGCGGCGGCGGCCGUGACAGCGCGGAGGAACAGCCCGACCGGCACGCUGCGAAGGCUGACCGGCCAGACGGCUGUUGGCGACGGCGGUGGCGGUCGUGCCCGCCGUGGUGCUCGUGGCAGUUGGUGGUGGCGUCGGCUGGCAACAGCUGCGGAGGACAUGGCGGCGGCGUCGAGCUAGCUGCUUGGUGGCGGAGGAUGACGGCGCAGCGGUUUGCGGAGGCGGAGGCUGGCGUCGGUGGUAGCGGCGACGGCGGCCGUGGCUGUGGACGGUGGCGACGUCGGCGGAUGCGGGUCGCUAGCGAGGUGGCUGGGCGUUCGGCAGCAGCGGUUGCGGUGGCGGUGACCGUGUCUGCGGUCACCGGAGGCAUGGCGGACUCGGAUGGCUAGCCGAGGGCGUGGCAGACGACUGCUUUUGGCUGGCACGGCAUCGUUUGGUGGAGGGGUCGGAGACCGGUUUGGCGCAGAGAGGUGCAGCCGAUGGCAGCGGAGGCUGGCUCGGCGCGAGAGGCGCGGGCGGCGGAGAUGGAGGCCGGCUUGGCGCGAGAGGCGCGGCCGAUGGAGGGAGGCCGGAAUGGCGCGAGAGGCGCGUCCGGUGGAGGAGGCCGGUUUGGCGUGAGUGGCGUGGCCGGCGGUGGAGGAGGCGACCUAGGUGUGAGGAGGAGCUGCCGAUAGGAGUAGCGCGGUCUUUGGCGCACGAAGGCUGGCCGGCGGGGGACGCCGGUGCAGGGGUUCCACAUGUCGGCAGAGCUUGUGUGGUGGUGGAGCAUCGGUGUGUCAGCUGUGGAUUCGCAGGUGGUGAGCGGCGGGUGAAAACCUAGUCUGGCCUCGGCCGGACCGACAACGAUGGUUCAUUCCCCCUCAUGAGGGCAUUGUCGUGCUGUCUCACCCCUCAAAGGUGGUUGCCGGGCGAAAGCCCAGUCUUGGCUCCUUUGAGCUCCGAUGGACGGCGGCGGCGGUUUGUCGCUUCUCUUCUUGAAGACGUCGUUUUGGCAUCCCCUAGGGGGGCGAUCUUGCCUGUGUCCCUUUGUUGGUCUAGUGGUGGUCGGUCAAGCUUAGCGGCGGCCGUUCCGGUGCUAGCCUUCUCCUAGGUUUGUGUGUUGGUGAUGUCGGUGUGUGGGUGGUGGUUUUUUUUCUUUUUCCUGGUUACGACCCUCUAGGGCUGUAAUCUUGUAAUUUUUUUCUGCUCUAUCAAUAAAACUUCGCACCAUCUCGUGCAAGUCGUUCAAAAAAAAGAGGGGUUUGCUUAGUCCUUCGUGUUCUUUUUUUUUUUACUGGGAGAUCCAAAGGAUCUACGUACCCUCGUGUAAACACUUAACAAUGAUACGUGGGCCAUCUUCGCUCUUUUGAAACUUGGAAGGCACGAACCGUGGUGAAAACCCUGUCUUAAUUCUCCUCGAGACCUCGACAGAUGAUAAUCUCAGUGCUCAUCGUUGUUUUUCUUCUUGGAAACAUCAACCAGGAGGCUCCACUACCAAAACUACUCUCAAACAACUUGUACAUGCUCUCUCUGGAUGUUUAUCCUCUUGCGACGAUGCCCCAGCUAAUGCAAGUUGGCUAUGUUGGUGAGCCUUGUGGGAGAGAGCGGCUUCAUUCUUCUUUCUCACCCUCUCUUCUCUAACCCCAAAGGUGUGAAUAGAAUUGAGUGCGAUGUUCGACUGUUAGGGUUUGAUUUUUGGGAGGUUUCCGUUGUAGCUUAUUUGUUGGUCUAGCGAUGGCCAGUCCAGUGCUAGCCUUUACCUGGUUCUGUGUAGGUGCUAUCGGUGCGUGGUGGUGUUUUUUUUUUCUUUCCUUAUCUACUAUCUUCCAGGGUGUUAGCCUUGUAAUUAUUUUCUAUUCUAUUCAAUCAAUCAUCGCAUUGUGGUCAUUAAAAAGAAUUACUGUGGUGAUACACCUAGUAAUUGAAAACUUCACUCCUAUCGUUUAACAAUUUAACUUGCUGCUUAUAAGCCACAACCGAAAUUUAAAUUUCAAAACUUAAUUUUGAGUUGCUUGGCGGGCAAUUAACAAUUACCUAAGGCUAGCCAAUAUUACAAUUUGUUUUUAAACCCACAUCAUGACUGGUUGCAAAUGCACUCCUCCAUGGGUAAGCUUCAUAGGUGACGGAACUCAAGACCGAUGCCGACGAGCAUCCGUGAUGGGCCCUAAAUUACCCCGUCAAAGGUGACCGUGUCAUCUUUGACGUGUUGGUUUCACGACAGGGUCAUCCAAGACGAUCUGUAGUUUAAUUGUACCUCAUCGGUGGGUUUUCGUUGAGAACCGUUUAAGGUGACUGUUGUCGGUUACACCUUGUGCCUAACACACAUGUGAGUGAUUUGUUAUCUUCUUUCCUAUAAGUGAGUAUCAAAUUUAGUUCUCGUUUAAUGAUUAUUUUUUUAUAAUUUAUUGAGCGAUAUAUGACUGGAGAAUCUUUGGUAACAAAUGUUUUCAGGCAUUUUCUUGAACCUUGGAUGAUGCAGGAGGGCAUGAAGACUUUAGAGUUUCAAACGGAUCAGAAGAGAAAUGCAACUGCUGUUAGAGAAGAUAAUAAUAAUAAUAAUAAUAAUAAUAAUAAUAAUAAUAAUAAUAAUAAUAAUAAUAAUAAUAAUAAUAAUAAUAAUAAUAAUAAUAAUAAUACUGUUGUUGUUAUACCUGAGUAACUACUUCAUUAUCGCUGGAGGAAACACUGAUUAAUCACCACAGACAUGAUCGAAGACUAAACUCGCCCGGUGAAUGACGCUAUAGAGGAGUGGGGUGAAUAUAGCGUGUCAAAGCUUUCCCACAAAAAUACUUCUUCAAAAACAUUAUGUAAAAAUAUUCUUUAGACUGUAGCUUAAUUAUGCCAGAUCUAGAAGAUCACUUUAAAAUACAUAUUACAGCGAUUAGAUCCGUUUUUUUCCGGCUAGGCUGUUAGGCGUUUCUGCUGGCGAUCGCCGCAAGUCCGGCCGGUGGCUGAUCAUCUUCGUCGGCUGUGAGCGGCUGGUGUUGCUCUUGUGCGGCCUCGGCGCCGGCGUCUUUCAGUGUUACCGUGCUCUAAAAAUUUAAGUAAAAUUUGAGGACUCCUUUUAGACAACGGAGAAUUUAAGAAAAUACUCCGGGCCACAUUCAAACAUUUCUUGUAUGUAUUUUAAUGUUUUCUAAUUUCUUUUUGAAUUUUAAUAAAUUAUAUUAUUCCUUUUAAAAAAUAAUUUUUAAUUCGGGAUAAAUUUAUCAGGACGUGACAGUUACGUGCCAUAUAGAACUCUGCUUUUAUAUUUACGACCCCUGCUUACACUUGCAGCCUGCAAACUUUAACCUUAAUUUUUUCAUUCAACUGAAUCCAUUAAUCAAUCAUUCUCACAUUUACAUGAAUGAUCAGUUAAUCGGCAAAUUAAUAGUUUAUAUAAAGAUGAGUCAAGCGCACCGCAAUAGACGGCCGCCACACUUGCACAGGGAGGCGAGGUCAAGGGGGCUCCGAGAUUAAAACUGCGACCCCACUUUGAGCCGCACUUUCUUCUUGUUAUUUUCUGUUCAAACGAUGUUAUCAAUGGGAUGUAGAACGUGAAACUAUCCCAAGUCACCAUGAUAUAUAGUCCUAAAAUAUAGCUACAAAUAGUACGGAUAGAUGGCCCUUGAACUGAUCUUUUGGCUAUGUGCACUGUUACAGUGCAGAGACCGGUAGUGUCCUAAAUCUAAUUCCACCACAGGAGAAGCUUGUCAAAGAUGUGAUAUGUCGACGACCCUCUCCUCACUACUCCAAAGGGGUGAACCUCACCGUGGAUGUCAACUGGUAGCAACACGUGAAAGAGCUUUUGAUACCGACGACAUCUCACACUAACACAAUUUUUUUUUUUGAAAACACAUCACAAUUUAUUUAAAGACAACGUGAAUUGAAUUUCCGAAUACAUCGCCCAGGAGAUACAUAAGAGUUGAACAAGCUAAGAGUUGAACAAACUUUAACAAGAGAGAGGUCAACUGAAGAAAGGAAACAAACUUCCUAAUGAAACUAAGCAGGAAUAGAGGAUCAAAUCGACAAGUUACUGCGGCGAUACCGUGACGGCUACAUCCUAGGGAACGGCACAUAUAAGACUAUCCCAACUACUUAACUAUACUAGGGGAGGGGGGACGACCCAUCUCCCUCCCGCCGCCGGUGACAAGGCUGUCGGAAUCGAUGAGGAAGAGGGGUCGACGAGAAAGCUUUACUAAGGCUGUGUUUAGUUUCACGCUAAAAUUAGAAGUUUGAUUAAAAUUGAAAGUUUGAAAAAAAAAGUUGGAAGUUUAUGUGUAUAGGAAAGUUUUGAUUUGAUGAAAAAGUUGGAAGUUUGAAGAAAAAACUUAACACAAAAUCUUAGAAGUGGUAUUGGACGGAGCUCAGGCAUCAAGCAAAAUACUGUUGACUAACUAAUUGGCCCUGCUUGUCAGCGUGUUGGGAGAAGCCACCGCUAUGGAUUGGAGGUCCAGGUUGAGCCUCGUUAGAGCAUCUCCAACAACCUACCCAAUCAUGCUCUCUAAUACCUAUAUAGCCAACUCUCUAAUUGAUUUAGCAAGUUAAACCCGUUGCUCACUCCAACAGCCUCUUCAUCCACCCUCUCUAUUCUGAGUGUAUGACAUUGGGACCCGUAUGUCAGUCUGUCACACCUUCCUCCCCCUUCACUUUCCUCCCAACUAUAUCACCGACGGUAGGCCACGAGGAGGGAAAAGCCAGCGAGGGGCGGCGCCGGCAAAGGGGCGGCGCGGAGGGGCGACGCCGGCGAAGUCGCGGCGGCGUCAUAUGCGCGGGCGGCGGCCUUGGCGGAGUCGUGGCGGCGUCGUAGGCGCGGGCGGCGGCCUCAGCGGAGUCGUGGCGGCGUCGUAGGCGCGGGCGUCGUCCUCGGCGGAGUCGCGGCGGCGUCGUAGGUAUGGGCGGAGGCCUCGGCGGAGUCGCGGCGGCGUCCCUCGUAGGCGCGGGCGGUGGCUACCUCCCCUUCCCCCGACCCCAGCCCGCCGCCAUCGCCUCGAGGUCGGCGGCGCGGAGUGCGCCGAUGGCGACGACGUUCUGCGGUCGGAGCUCCGGCUCGUCGUCGCCGUUGCCAUCGCCGUUGCCGUCGCCACCCCGCUCAAGAUCCCGGAGAGUCGAGGGGAAGACGAAGGGCGGCGAAGCCAGAAGGACGACGGCAGCGGCGGCGCCGGGAGGAGGACGGCAGAGGGAGCACCGGGAGGACGACGGCGGCGGGCAGGGAGGGAGCUGGGACGGGUGGGGAAAGGGUAAGAGAGAGGAGAGAGGGGUGGGACCCACACCAGAUGGCCAGCCGUCCUGGCUAGCCAACUUUGGCUUAGUGAGGUGGGGAAUUUAGCCAGCCGGAUAGCUUGGAGAGCCAUUUGGCUAGUCUGUUGGAGUAGAUUUUUUUGUCCAAAUUAGCUAAAAUUUAGCUUGGAGAGUCAUUUGGCUAGUCUCUUGGAGACGCUCUUAGUCGUUAGAUAUACUAGAGUCUGCGACACGCCCCUAUCUAGCACAUCUCCAACUUUUUUCCUUCAAACUUCAACUUUUCCGUUGGAACUUUCCUACACAUAUAAAUUUCUAACUUUUUCGUCACAUCGUUUCAAUUUCUUCAAAUUUUUAAUUUUAGCAUGGAACUACCUUAGUUAUUUAACAAAGUAAAAAAGUUAGCUAGUUGAUAUGACAUCGUUUUUUAAUAUAUAACAUCGUUGACUUUUUAAUAAACAUUUGACCGUUCGUCUUAUUAAACUUUUUUUUGCAAAUACAAAAAUAUUUAAGUCACGCUUAAAAAAUAUUUGAUGAUAAAUUCACAAUACACUUAAAUAAUUUUUUUAAUAAGACGAAUGGUCAAACAUAUCUUUAAAAAAAGUUAAUGGCGUAAUAUAUUAAAAAACGGAGAGAGUAACAAGUUUCCUCCUUGCGGAACCAAUCUAUACCGUACACGUACAGAAAAACUACACGGUAAAACAAAUACAGUAUCUGCUACAGCAAUCCUACUCGGCAUGCCUGGUUUCUCUCCCUUCUGAGAUGCUUGAUGGCUUGGAAUAUCUAGACCUCGAGGACAUUGCCGAUGGCGGCCCAACUCCGUGAAAGCUUCUCUGCCUCUUGUUGUACCCGCAAUGGCGUGUUUGCUCGCACCAACUGUUCCUGAUGUCUUCCAAGCCUAAUAAAUUCACUUUAGAUAUACCAUCACAGAGCCAAGUCGUCCCAACCAUAUGGACAGUGUGUGUGCUACACGAACGAGGAGCCUGAUGCACACCAACUUGUGUGGAUUCAUAGUAGCAUGUAUUCAUAGUACUACACGAACGAAUGUAGUACUGGAAGUGAUAUAUUUUAUUUAGAAUAUAAAAUAUAUCAUAUCCAAUACUAGAUUGGUUUUUUUACGAGACAAAGGGAGUACGCAUGUAUAUGGCCCGACCAGCAUGCAUGGCAGCAUCCAUUUCGAUCUUCCCAAUCUGCCUUUAAUUUCCUGCCUAAUUAAUUUAUGAGCAUUGGCAUCAAAAAGGAAAAUUGCUACCAUUAUCGAGUAGUUGCGCUAGCUGGGGGCCAGGAUCAACUACGAGUUCUGCAAUAACUUGGCAUUCCUAAAUCUCACACCCGCAAUAUUGGUUGCUCGACUUGUCGAUCAUGUGUAGUGCUCUAAAUUUCUCUUUCUUAUUAAUUAAAGGUUUCAGCUGGCAUCUUUCCACCAGCCUGUGAAAUAGUAUUGUAGAAUAAUUUUUUUGCUAUUAGAUAAAAAGCAUGUAAUAGGCAUUAAAAUAUUCUUGCUACUAGAUAAUAUACAUUUUAGAAGUGGUAAAUAGCUACUACCAAGCCAUAAACUUACUAGUAGGACAUAAACAAUUUAUGGUGAAUUCCACCUUGUUGUUUUAAUUGUAUCAAGGCUCAUCUUAUAUAUAGUUGGACUUUUCUUUUUUUUAAGAAAAAGAUAGCUUCCACCUUAUUUUCAACCUACAAGUAUACAUUGUAGAGCCUCUUCAAUCUAUUAAUGCUACCUGACACGAGUCACCUUAGCUUAUUGCAUCGUUGGAUAGUAAACAUUGAGAAUGGCCUAGAGAUGGAAGCCUCUCCGUUGAGGUAACAUGCGCGUGAGCCUUGAAGUAACAGAGAUAUUGUUAAUUAGCCUCUCUAUUGAGGUACCGAGCCACGCCUUAGCGCGCAUGCAUGACCAAUGAUCGCCUAACACAUGAAGGAUCACACUAGCUGGCAUGUCGAAUGCUCCUGAUGCCUUCCAAGCCCCAAUGCACCCAACCUAACUAUCUGUACAUACAUGUAUAUGUUGCAUCUAAUUUGGCAUGCGUAACUUGCACUCUCUACCUAGCAAAAAAGCCGCCCAUCUAGCAUAUAUAUAUGGGUCUUCUCUCUAAAAUUUUGAAGUAACCAUAGAUACCUAAUCAUUUAAUUUUUCGGUCUACUACUUUUUCCGUAUUUGUCAUUUUCUUUGGGUAAUUAUCCUUGUCAUCACACAAUCUAAUUAUUAAAUGUGUUUUUCUCUCUCUGAAAAGUCUGGAAAAUUUGAUACUCGAAACAGUCAACCAAUACAUUGCAGAUGGCCAGCAAUGCAUAGCAGGCAUCUAUUAUCUAUACUAGGUGAAACCCCACGUAUUGCUGCGGGAAUUUAGUAUGAUAACAACAAAAAAAAUAACGUGUAAGAUAUCUAGAUAAUAUCAGAUUAAGUAAAUUAAUGUGAUUUAUGAUAAUUUAAAUUUAAAUAGUAUGUAGAAUGGUGAUUCAAACGUAAAAAGUAAGAUGAUAUGAAUUUAUGAAAGAAGAAAAAUAGGGAGUUAGUUUGAACCGUAGACUAAUCAUCUAAAGACUAAAAACAAUUGAUGUGAUAUGACUUAAUUAGAGGAAAAAAAGGAGAAAGAUAAUUUGGACCAUAGAUUAAUCAUUUAAUCACUAACUAAGUGAGGAUGAACUAUAUAAAUAUAUAGGAUAUCAUAAAACAUAAUAGAUAUACAUUGAAACAUUAUGUGAAUUAUGUUGGAUGAUAAUUUAACAUGUUUGUAUUUGAAAAUCUCUUAAAUUAUAAAAACUAUAAAGAUAUAGCAUGUUUGUAUAAUAUUUAAAUGUGAUGAUUGUUAGUGGAUGAUGAUGUGUCAUCUUUGCAUGUUAAGCUUAAGGAAUUAGUGGGGGAUAACUUUAUAGUAAGAUAGGAUAUGCUUCGUGCUUGUGCGCUUCUUACUGCACAACAAACUUAAUUUUUCUCCAUCUGCAGCUUAAGCUUGUUUUCUCCUAAAGAUAGGACAGAGCAAACAAUUCUGUCCCAAAAAUUAAAGGAAUAUUUUGUUGAACCAGGUUGAGGCAAUAAGAGAUGCCAACCUUUUUUUUUAUUUGCCAUUAGGUUGAGGUGAGAAGAGAUGCCAACCUUUUUUCUUAUUUGCCAUUAUGUUAAAAAUAGUUAUAUUUUGAGACAGAAGGAGUAAUAGUAGUAUGUAGUUAACGCCUAGCACGUGGAAUACACUGGAACGGACAUUAACUUAGUUAACGCCUAGCGUCACGGUGUUCUCUCCUCUAUCGAAAUCUACCGCUCGCCACUAAUAAUAUUAUUUUCUAUAAAUGUUAGUUUGGAGCUAGAUGAUUCUUCGGCCAAAUACAAGUCAUCUCAUAAUUAUCGUUCAGUACACCAUGACAAUAAAUUAGUAAUAGGCAUGAGACAUCUGUCGGGAAAAAAAAUAGCUGAUGAAUUCCGUCAGUAAAGGUUGCUGACAAGCUAUAUGUUAGCACAUGAGUGCUUAAUUUGCGGACAGAUUCUAAGAUAGAGAAUUUAGGUCAUAGUAUUGUAAUCAUCGACAAAGAAGGGAAGGUGAUACUGCCUGCCGCAGACACAAACAUAGUACCAGAGGACCAAUAGUGGUUUCUACCCAAGCUCUGCUAGAAAAAGAGUCAAUCUAUUCUAUACCAUGAACAAACCGUGAGAUCUACGGUAUGUCUGUGACGCCCUUUAUCAAUGGCAUAUAAUGUAUUAUCUCUUUCAGUGGCCUCAACGAGAUGAACACCAGCAUUGCUUGCACCAUGCUCUGCUCAUUUGGAUGAACACCAUUCCGUGCAUGCACAACAGAGGAUUUACUCGGACAACCUAUAUACUGUCGCUCAGCAACGAUUCCCGACGCAUUUCAAGCCAAGAUAUAUAGCUAGACAGAUGCCACAGAACGAUGAUUAGCUCGCACGUGUACAUAGCGAUGAGCCGGAGGCGUUGAGCACACAGAUUUUGUAGAGCAGCAAUCAUAUGUAUAGAGCUUUUUUACGGUACAUUCUACCACUAGUAUAUACUACCAGUAUAUUUGAUCUAACGGUCUAAAAUUCAUCUGAUCUCCCUUCCAAUUAUCCUGUAGUAUAAAUUGAAAAGGAUAUAUUUGUCUUUUUAUCUAAAUGUGUGAGGGUAAUUUCGUGAUUUCACGUUUCAUCACUGGUCAGAUCCGAUCCAUGGGCGCCCCUUCGUGGAAGUCGUGCCCAGUCGUCUUCCUCUUGAGAGCAGCGAGCGCCGCCACGCCGCCGCCGUCAGCCACUAUCGUCGCCGCCGCCAUCGGGAAUCGAAUCGAUUUCCCUCCUCCUUUCCUCCUCUCGUGUCUUUUCCGACGACCCAAAAGCCUAGUUCUUGAGGGAGGCGACGGGCAGGCGGAGCCGCAGAAGGGCGCAUGCCACUGUGCCAUAGGCGUGCAGCUUCGGCAGCUCGCAGCGGCAAGGGCAGUCGGGCGGCGGCAGGUGGCAGCGGCAGGGCAGGGCUGAUGGGUGGUGAAGAGAUAAAUUUUUUUGAGAACUUCGGAACAUUCCAAAUUGAAAGGUUGAAAUUUAUUGUUGAAAUUGCAUUUGUGUAAUUGUUUGUGCCGUUUCUGCUGAUAUUGUAGUAUAUUGCACAAAAUGGUACACACACAAUUGUUCUGAGCAAACUAUUGAAAACACUUGCCAAAAUAAUAAAGGAACAAUCCAUUUUUUCAGUAAUACUAACUCCUUAUAUUAAAGGAAUUAGAACAAAGACAUUUAUUUCGGACAGUAUGUUGGGAGGUGUAGCAUGUAUUAGAUCUUCCUUUUAUCGUUCUUCUUGCGAGCGUCCCCCAAGAUUGCAGCUAACUUCCUUCUAAAAUUUUUUAUAUCUUCCUGCAGAAUUCAUAUAGGUAUUUAUUAGAUAGAAACAAUCAAUUGGAGAAAGUAAAGAUGAUGCAGAAAUAUUUAGUGCAUCUUACAUGCGUGUAUUCCUUCGACAACCUAUUGCCUUGACAGUGCUCCAUGUUUUUUAAUACAAACAGCCCACAUGAGACACUGGAAGAAUUGAAUUAUAUUAGACAAGUGAUAACAUACAUUUAGGUAGUGAAAAAAACUAUUAUUGUAGUGGCUGCAUAACAUACAGAUCUCCUUGUAAUGGCAAAUUCUGUACGACCGUGACUUCCCAGGAAGUAAUUUUUUGGUCAGGCCAUUGAGUUGGUAUGUGCUUUUCAUCUGGUUCCAACAUCUGAAAAUAUUGCUCUACUCCUUCUAGCUGUUAUGUGAGAAAAUGUCAUUACUGCGGUAUGUUGAUGUCCUUUUUGGUUUAUUUCUAAGUAAAAUACUUACAACUUUUCUUAGUUCCUUGUGUUGUGUGGAUGAAUUCGCCACGGAGUCAAGCACUUGGAUGAUGCGGCGUUUGGCGUGUAUGACUGCCUGGUACCAAUGGUUUUUCUUUUAUGUUCAUGGGGAGGAAAAUCUGUACAAAGAAAUCAUUUUUAGGAUAUAUUAGUAGUAUAGAGUUGUUGAAAAUUUCAUAGUAUUGUGGCAUAAAUAUUACCAUAUCAUGCUUUAGAUAUCUAUUUGCCGUUGCUUUAGCCAUUGCCCGAUCGAUGAUGUCUUUGGAAACGUAGUGUUCGCCAUCUCUUUGUAGCAACCUUGUUAUUAACGGUUUCUCUGGGAACACCGUACCUUCUGCCCUAGUCCUUGUACCUUCCUUCAUAUCUUUCUCACGUAGACAAGUAACGUAUGCAUCGAUUAUCUAAAAGUAGAGGAAAAUGCCAGGUUUUGAUUGUGCUAGUAGUUGCAUGAGACAAUAGUUUCACGGGUUAGUAAACUUACAUGAUCAUCCAAAUAGCUCAUGCUUGAUUCAGUCACCGGAUUAGUCAGAAUUUGCGUUGUUUUUUGGGAAAUUGAGACAUCAUCGAUAUGCACCACUAGUUGUGAUUCUGGUGCACUCAUUAUACUUUUAAUGGUUUCCUCAUCUUCUGCGGUGCACUUGAACUCUGCCAUUGAAGUUAAAUCUGUAAGUGAACCGCAACAGAAAAAUUAAGCGGAGUAGGAUGUGAUGAUAAUUAUAGGACUUUUACCAUUGGAUAUUAAAUUAUGUGCUUGCGCAUUCUUUGGUUUCUUCUUUGUAGCCCCUAAAUUGUAGACGAAAUCAGUAUUUGAUUUAAUUGUUGAUUUACGCAGUCUUCGUGUUGAUCCUGAAAGUGACUUGGCAAUGACAGGCGUUUGAGUUGGUGGGUUUGGUUUCUGCAAUACAAUUGGCAUGUUAAAAAUAAUUAGUAUUAAAUUUGACAGACGCGGAAGAAGUAUCCGCAUAAGAUGCUGUCUUACCUUUUUUUUUAAUUAUAUGUGUUUCUUUGUUGGAACUUUUGCAAACAUUUGGCUUAGAGUUCUUGGAAGUUGUUGAUAUUGUCUUUUCCUCUUUGAAUGCAGCUAUUAUGUUGGUGAGUGAUUGAAUUUGGUUAUGCAUGGACUGUUGAUUCUGUUUCAUCUCCUUCAUCUCCUUUCCUUGCUGUUCUAUCAGCAUGAUUAGUUUUCGGGUCAGCGUCUCAGUUUCUGGGCUAUCCUGCAUAAUAUGCGUUUGUUAAGUUAUGAGACAUAUGCUGUUGUAAUUCAAAUAAAUAGUAAUGAUGUAACCAUGGCUACUAUAGAUACAACCAUCGUCCACAUCAAGAUCAAGCCGUCCAAGUUCUGCAAUCCAGUUCGGCCACCUGCUACAGUGUCGACUUCAAACGGCCACCAAAUAUGCAUGCGAGCUCCAUUUUGGGUCCAUGAGUACUUGAUGGAAAGCUCUCGGAGUCAUCUUUCCAAUGGAUCUAGCUUCAUCGCCAAAUUCCAUCCCAGUCGGCCGAAAUCACAAAAAGAAGGUGUUGCGUCACUUAUAAUGGGCCUAUGGGCUUGUAACUUCGUCUGAGACCCCGGCCCAAGUGGGGCCUAUGUAGGGUGCGCCCCAACCAGGUGGAGCACGACCCUAGGGUCCCCUUAGGUCGUCCUCCCACCUCCUUAAAUAGUUAGGUACCCCUUUAGAGUUUCUUGGGUUUUGGUAGAUUAAAGUUUAGCCAUUGCUACUUGCUUGCAGCGCGCGUGUCGGCUAGACUGUCCGUCUGCUUGUUCUUCGGAACCCCAAGUUAUCAUUUGUAUUAAAUUCCUAUUUGCAAUAUCAGAUUGCUUUUAUCUUGUUCUUGCUUGUUUCUUCGAUUUGCUUGCAGGAAUAGGAUUGAUCUGCAUCGGUAAGAUCAACAACCCACGGAGAGGUGUAUCGAUCGCUAAGGCGCAACACAACGUCUCGUAUGGUUGUAGUCGGAUCGUCAACGUUUCUCCCAAAUCGUAGUUAUCACAACUCACCGAAAGAUCGGGCCAACAACAGCCUUGAGUGUCGAGAGGAACUCAGGGUCCAUCAGGUGGUAUCAGAGCUUUCGUUGCUUGGUGAGUUUUUAUCUACCCAUAACCAGAAAAAUAGCCAAAAAAAAUUGCAUCAUUUACCUAGCCAUAUUGUGCCAUUGCAUUGUUCAUUUUUCUUUUUGCUUUGUUGAGUUUUGCGUUACAUCGUUGAGUCGUGUUGCUGGUCUUAGCGUUUAGUCCGUUUAGAGUUUCGAGUUCUGGUCACGUUUAGUACCACAGUCGUUGUCGCCUCCGUGUCUCUGUUGUCGUCGGGACCUACAAAAACGGAAUCGGCUUGCUGUCACGGUUCUAUUUUUGUAGUUUUCAGAAUUUUUUAUCGGUCAGUUUUGGAGUUGCAUUUAGGAUUUGCUUGAGUUUCUGGUUUGCCCGUGAAUAGAUCGGCCUGUGCUUGUUGCCGGUGUAGAGAGGAGGAAUAAGAAUUUCCAAAUCUGUUUUUGGAAGUAUGAGAGUUUAAUCUGGAAACAAAUAGUAGAUCAGAUUGAUUGAAAAUUAGUUUCCCUUUUUCUCUCACCAUAUCCGGACUCCUAGGUAGUGCCGCAUCCUUCCUUUCCUCACCCACCACCACCCCGGGUCCGCGACCAGGCCGAGUCCGAGUGUCUCCUCUCGGUCACGGUUUCAAUCUAUACCGUGAUCUUGCAUAUUGCUUGGUGAAAAUUUUUCGAGUAUCGGAUUGAAAAUCCGUUUGCAAAAAUGGAAGCUACAGGACGAGAGGAUUCCAUUUUUGUAUAGUUCUAAUUUUGGGUUUGAACUUUUACAUUUGAGUCCCUGUAAAUUUUAUAUUUAUGUUUGAGUCCCUAUAAUCUUACAUUGAGGUCCUUGAAUCUGUUUUUGUAAAAUAAAAUCAAAAAAAGAAAGAAAAAAAAGGCAGAAAGGUGCAUAAAAAAAAGAAAAGAAAAAGAAAAGAAAAGCAGGAAAGACAAAAAAAAAGAGAAAGAAAGAAAGAAGAAAAGGAGAAAAUCAUUUUGUUAUUAUUGAGCUGAACUUCAUAUAUUAGAGUUGUGCAUGAGUUGUUCCUGGUGCUAUCUUGUGGUAUCGUUUGUGUCUAGGCUCACGUCUCUAGUACGUUCUAGCCUAGGACCAGCACGGUACUUGACUUUGAACAAUUAUUCAACUUUGCAUUAUCUGAUUUGAGCAUUUGCUAUUCCUUUGCUACAUAUUUAAGCCUACCUAGAGCUCCACAGAUUUGAUUGCAGCCGUACAGCAAGUGUUUGCCAAGGCAUCGAUACAUCCAAUCUCCAUUGGGGUGCUUGGUUGAGUCGGUGUAUGUCACCAUUCCGCUUGCAUUGGUAAGAUCUUGUAAGAGCUUGGUUAAAAGCUUGAGUGUGUGUGAUAUUUGAGCUGCCACUACCUAGUAGUUGAUAGGAGCGUGCAUAUUUUUGUGUGUUUCUUGUUUGCUACUAACCAUGGCAGGAUUGCGUAAGGGAAUACGAGAACAUCGACUUCUACACCUUCGACGAGAUAUGACGACUUCUCCACGUGAUGCAUAUGAGGUACAUGACUAUAAUUUUGAACAAGUUGCAUCUAAGUUACCAUUCUAUUAUGGAAAGUAUGAUUCUGUUGCAUAUAUUGAUUGGGAGCUAGCAGUAGACAAUGAAUUUGAUAUAUAUGAUUUUUCUGAUGCUCAAAUGAUUAAGGCUGCUAGUAAUAAGUUUACCUCUUCUGCAUUAUUUUGCUGGACUUAUGUUAGUAAUAAACCUAAAACUUGGGAUGAAUUGAAAACCAUGAUGAGAAAACGCUUUGUGACUUCUUAUUACAAAUGUACUCUUCGGGAGAAAUUAGAACAUCUGAAACAAGGUGAUAGAACUUUUAGGGAGUACAUUCAUGAAUUUAAGGUCUGUAUCAUCUACAGUGGUCUCAAAGAGUGCAAUGAAAAUACAAUGCGUAGAUUUUUCAAUGGGCUUAAUUCUGAAAUUCAGGUUUUGCUUGAUAAUGUGACAUAUAAUCAUAUUGGGCACCUAUUCAUGCUUGGUCGUAGCAUUGAGAGUCAGAUCAUAUCAACUCUGAUACCACCUGAUGGACCCUGAGUUCCUCUCGACACUCAAGGCUGUUGUUGGCCCGAUCUUUCGGUGAGUUGUGAUAACUAUGAUUUGGGAGAAACGUUGACGAUCCGACUACAACCGUACGAGACGUUGUGUUGCGCCUUAGCGAUCGAUACACCUCUCCGUGGGUUAUUGAUCUUGCCGGUGCAGAUCAACCCUAUUCUUGCAAGCAAAUCGAAGAAACAAGCAAGAACAAGAUAAAAGCAAUCUGAUAUUGCAAAUAGAAAUUUAAUACAAAUGAUAAGUUGGGGUUUCGAAGAACAAGCAUACGGACGGUCUAGCCGACACGCGCGCUGCAAGCAAGUAGUAAUGGCUAAACUUUAAUCUACCAAAACCCAAGAAACUCUAAAGGGGUACCUAACUAUUUAAGGAGGUGGGAGGAUGACCUAAGGGGACCCUAGGGUCAUGCUCCACCUGGUUGGGGCGCACCCCACAUGGGCCCCACUUGGGCCGGGGUCCCAGACGAAGUUACAAGCCCAUAGACCCAUUAUAGGUGACGCAACACCUUCUUUUUGUGAUUUCGGCCGACUGGGAUGGAAUUUGGUGAUGAAGCUAGAUCCAUUGGAAAGAUGACUCCGAGAGCUUUCCAUCAAGUACUCAUGGUCCCAAAAUGGAGCUCGCAUGCAUAUUUGGUGGCCGUUUAAAGUCGACACUGUAGCAGGUGGCCGAACUGGAUUGUAGAACUUGGACGGCUUGAUCUUGAUGUGGACGACGGUUGUAUCUAUAGUAGCCAUGGUCACAUCAAGUAACAAAAUUUUAGUUUUUUUGACUACCUUGUGUGAAGUGGCAUGUGUUGUGCUGUCGACGCGUUGUUCUGAUGUUUUUAUCUCGCUGUCACUUGCUAUGUCUUGGACAUUCUAUGAUGAGAUGACAGAUUUAAUGGAUAUUAAACCAUGCGUUGUGAUGUACAAUUGAAUGUAAGUACAGUUAAAUGAAAUGAUUAACUUAUUAGUAUGGAUGCAUGAUUCUGAUUGUUUGCUCUUCUCGCUGUCAUUUGUUACGUCUUGGACAUCCUACGAUGAAAUAUCAUAUUUAAUGGAUUUUAAACGUUGCGUAGUGAUGUAUAAUUGAAUUUAAGUACAGAUCAAUUAUUUGAUUACCUUAUCAGUAGGGAUACAUGAUUCUGAUUGUUUGCUCUCUUCGCUGUCUCUUGUUAUGUCUUGGACAUUCUAUGAUGAAAGGAUAUAUGUAAUGGAUAUUAAACCAUGUGUUGUGAUGUAUAAUUCAAAGUACAUAGAGAUGAAUAAAAUGAUUACCUUAUCUUUUCGGAUUUGUGAGGAUUUGGAGCAUUCUAUAGCAAGUGUGAUGUCGUCAACAAUCUAGUACAGAAUAACUCAUUGACGUUAGCUGGUCGAAAAUAGUGCUUUGGUAGAUGGUAAAAAAGUUAGCUUCCUGAGACUAGUCGUCUGUGUGCCCAUUUGAUGCUGUUCCCUUCCUUGUUACUUCAGGAUGACAAACUACUACAUGCAUGAUAUAAUGGAAAGCACAAGCAAGCUAAGACAUCAGCAGCAGGAGCAUAAGUAAAUUCACAUUUUGAAUUAAUAGGCUAGACUUAAGUGGGAAUAAAAUGAUUGUAUAUUACCUUCCCUUUACCAUUGUAUUAUCUUUUUUUUUGCCUUGUGCUUGUCCCAGUAUUGAAUAAGUGGUUUGUCGCGCAUAGUAUAAUCUAUGGUUGGAUCCAAAUUGUCAGCUCGUAGCUUCUCCCAGUACCAUAACUGCAACAAGUACAAUUGAGUAAAAACAACUUGUCUUUUGUUGGUACAAAAUAAUAAUUGUGCAGUUGCAUUACCUACAAAAGUGGUAGGUUUCCUUCAAGAUUGACUCCUUUUUUUAUUAAUUUUUUUUAAUGCUUUUCAUUAGGUGGUUUAAAGUCAAGCUUGUCCAGUUAAUUGCACUGAUUGCAUUGACAUCCUCUACAAAAUUUAGGUAUGCCAAGCUUACAUACCUUUGAGUAGUUGGGCACAGGAAAACACCGAUUGAUCACAAAGAGCACAAAACGGCGAAUGAAAUUGUCGUCAUAUAUACCUUUGUUUGUUUGAAAAUACUAUUGCAAAGAAGAUAAUUUUAUAUGUGCCCCUUGCUUAGAUGCUGUCUUGAAUUCAUCAAACAAGUCCAUAUUCUUGGUCUUUGGUGGUUCAAAUAUUUCUUCUCCUUGUGAUGGCAGGUCAAGCAAAUGCUCAGCGUCCCUACUGGAUAGACUCAGAUAGCUGCCUUGGAUGUUGAAUGCUUCAGCCUUUGUAUCAAAUUGGUUUGUAAUCCACAUGCACAAAAUACGGUGUACAUUUAUCCUAUGCAUCUUCAGCAAUCCUCCGAAGCCACAUUUGUGUACAGCUUCUCAUUGAGAAAUACUGAAGGUUGCGAUGAGGUCAUAAAGGGCAUGAAUAGAGCAUAUCUGUGUGCUCUGGUUGAAUGAAAACACAAUGAUUCAAUGAAAACACAAUGUAAUUGUACCGUAACGAUUUAUCGUAUGGUACCGAAUAAGUUGUGGAUGGAUAUUUACCUGUUUUUGGGGCUUAUUUUGUUUGAAAACCUGCUCUGGUUCGUAGAUUGUUGUAGUUUCAUCCAUUGCGGUUUGCUUCAUCAUAUCUUCUGCAGAGCAAUCCUUAGUAUUGGAAUUACACAGCAAUUACAUAAAGUGUAGCAUUCAGAUAAUCUUGGAACAAACCUAAGUCUUGUAGCUGACGGGCGAUCGAAACGUCGAGAUUGGAUUUGCUAAUGCAAACGAUUAGCUAUAUACAGUAGAGAGGGUAAUAAUCUGAUGGUUUUAUCACGUGUGUUGUGGUAAGCGGUUAUUUAAUUUUGGUUUGCUCGACGGAUAACCACCUGUUUGCUCGACCGGAUAACCACGUCAUUACCUUAUCCUCCCAUCCACGAUCGUGUUUGAGAGGAAAAAAAAGAAUCGGCAAUCCCCAGUCCCCACGGUGCGGCGUUAAUAGCGGCGACAUGCACUGCUGCGAGCCCUGCCAUGGGCGGCUUGCAGGGAGCAGUUAGUUAGCGAUGCCCGAUCUGAUUCGACCGGAUAACCACCUGUUAGCUCGACUGGAUAACGACGUGUUAGCCCGUCCGGAAAACGGAAUAAUAGGGGAUGGAAACGAGAUAUUUAAUCUCGAUAAUUAUUUUUUAGUUCGUAAAAAAAAACCGCUCCGCAAUAUUGUACGAGCGGUCGACCGGAAAACCAUGGUUUUCUAAAAUCGACCGGGUUCGGACGGACGAGGAAUUAUUUUUUAGUUCAUACAAAAAAAACGCACCGCGAUAUUGCACGAGCGCUCGACGUGAAAUAUAUUGAAUUUUUAUAAUCGUCCCGGUCCGGACAGACCCGGACUUAAUAUUUGGUUAAAAAAAUCAUUCCAGUGUAACAUAUGCGCGCUCGACGUGAAAUAUAUUGAAUUUUUAUAACUGUCCCGGUCCGGAUAGAUCCGGACUUAAUAUUUGGUUAAAAAAAAUCAUUCCGCUAUAACAUAUGCAUGCUCGACGUGAAAUAUAUUGAAUUUUCAUAAUCGACCCGGUCCGGACAGACCCGGACUUAAUAUUUGGUUAAACAAAAUCAUUCCGCUGUAACAUAUGCUUGCUCGACGUGAAAUAUAUUGAGUUUUUAUAAUCAUCCCGGUCCGGACAGUCCUGGACUUAAUAUUUGGUUAAAAAAAAUCAUUCCGCUAUAACAUAUGCGCGCUCGACGUGAAAUAUAUUAUAAAUAAAACCGCUUCGCUAUAUUGUAGGAGCGCUCGACUGGAAAACCAUGGAUUUCUAAAAUCGACCCAGUCUGGACGGUCUCGGAAUUAUUAUUUUAUUUAUCAAAAAACCAAAAUAUGUCAGUGGCCCAAUAACACAUGUGACAUAUCAGCCCACUAGGCCCAAUAACUCGUCACCACGUCAUGACCUUAUCCUCCCACCCAUGAUCAAGUUUGAGAGGGAAAAAAAAUAAUCGGCAACUCCCCAUUCCCCACGGUGCGGCGCUAAUAGCGACGACAUGCACUGCGCCGAGCCCUGCCAUGGGUGGCUUGCGGGUAGGAGUUAGUUCGCGAUGCCCGAUCUGAUUUGACAGAUAAAAAGGAUGGACCAGUACCCAUUUUCAUUCAUUAAACAGCUCCUUUCAUUCUCCACGAAUCUAAUCUUUCUCUUUCUCGAAGGUCACCGCCGUCGAAUCUCCGCAAGAUGUCUGAUGUGCAACAGGUGAGUGCAAGUAUUUGCUCGCUCAUUAAAGUGCAGAGUUCAAUAUGUGAAAUGUUAAGAUUUAUCGACAACAAUUAUAUGAUCAUGACUGUUGUUUGUUGCAUAACCUCGUGGAUAGGAUCAUGUAUGCUGUGUGACAUCAACGUAGCAAACUUUCUGUGCUGUCUCCUAAUCUAUAAAUAUUACUGUCGUACAAAGAAUUGUCAGCGCCGGCAAGGAGGAUGCAUACUACAUUGUUAGUUGUUACUGGUUGUUUCUUGAAAGUCAUACCCGAUUUGGAAUUGGAGUUUUUUUUUUCAGGCAUAAAUUAGUUUUACACAAUUUGAUAUUACACGCAAGGGUAUAACUGUUAAUAUUCAUGAAAUCAUCUCUAGGCUCUAACUGCGAUAUGAAGUGUGUAAUUUAAUCUGCUUAAUUGUCUUGGCCUCUUGGGUGGAAGAGAUCGGUGCUUGGCAGAACUUGAUGCUAGCUCAUCUGAUCCCUGGACAUGAUUCUUAGUACACAAGAUUAGACUGGAUGAGCAUCACCUAUCUCUUCGUUAACUUUUUUGUUUUUUUCCUUUUAUCUGUUCUUUCUGCAAGCACAUAUCCACUUCAAAGAUCAUCUUGUCUGAAAUGACAAUAGCUCUAAAUUUACAACAUGUUAUCCGUGACAGAAUGAACUACAAUUUUGUUUUCUGCCUCCUUAAAACUUAUAGAACAUAUUCAUCUGUAAUGGGUGGUCGGCACGCAAGGUGGUGCACGGAGGGUGGGCUGUGGGUGGCGGUGCGGGACGUGGAGGCAGGAGCGGCGAACUCCGGGAGGGAGCCAGAGUUGUUAAUAAAUAAGAAGAAGAUGUGAGAGAGUAUAAUAGGUGGGUCCCACUAUUUUUUUUAAAGACAAUGCUAACUGGAUUGUCACGCGUACGUCACGUAGAACAAAAUCACGUUAGAUUGGAUCGAGGGGGUAAUUCGUCCGAUAUUGAAUGUUCAGGGUGAGCAAUGUAUGGUUUUCGCGUUAGGAGGGAAAUUCAUUCUUUUUCCUGUACAUAAUACUGACAUGCAUGCUUAUGAAGCAUCGAUCUCUUUUUCAUAAGUACUCUCUUCAGCACACAAAUAAUUAAUUUCAAAAACCAAAAAUUUCGUAACACAAGUGCAUGUAGAUCGACAUAUAGCCUGACACAUGUAUGGAUGUAAUUAAGUAGGUUAGGGAUGUGGGGGGUUCUCAUAUAUGAGCCCUAUUAACCCCCUAUUAAACCCCUCCGGUACUGUUCGACUUUAAUUUCCUUGCUCUCUUUUUUUUUAAUGCAGCAAAAUCUUGAUUCAUUAUUUGAUAGAUCAUUUUAUGUACCCCACUUUAUGUCCAUUUACAUACAAUCAUCGCCCAAUUUUACUUAUGUAUCACUAUCUGUUUAAUUUAUGGCCCCAUGACAUAUUUGCAAAUGAAAAAUAACUUAUGAAUAAAACUUUUAUAUACGUGUUCUUAGCGAUCUAAAAGCAAAGACUGAAAAAUAAACUUGGAUGAAAAAAAAUAUUAAAAUGAAUUUUAACUCCAAGUUUAAGGUUGAAUUCAAAUUUUAGCUUAUAAGCAUAAGCAUAAUUAAGAAAAAGGAUGAAGCUAUCAAUCAGUGGUCGUUACUGAUGAGGACGAUGAACAAAACAAAAUAAUAGUGCAGCUGAUCUCAGCUAGCUAACUAACAUUAGAUACUUAAUCGGGCGGACAUGGGAUGUGUGACACACACUACUGCAGAUUCUAUCCCUCGUGUAUUCAUCCUGCAGCCAACUGAUAUCGCUAAUUUGACAAUCAGGAAAAGCAUCGCCUCUAAGAGACAUAGGCUAGGAAACAUCAGGGUCUCCGUAGUAGUGAUAAUCAGAGCAUGCAGCGUGCAAUCGAAGACGCACACCAACAAUUUAGUAUGAGCUUUGCCUCCCAUAUGCACAAAUACCCAUCUCCUGAUGCCUCAUAAUCCUUAGCACACGAAUAGUUGUAAGGCCAUGGUAUAUAUGCAUGUUAAUUAGCAUUCGCGCUAGCUAUAUAAUUCUUCCACAAUACUAACUUUUAGCUAGCCCUUGUAGUCGUUCUAUCCGGAUCGAGAUAUAUAUAUAUAUAUAUAUAUAUACGCACCUCAACCAUCUAAAUAGGCUACUGCAUACAUAAAUAAGAAGGCCAAUUAAUUAAUAUGACCUACAAUGGUUGGGUAAAUUAAAAUAAAUCAAAUGGGUCCACGUACUAUUACACCCUGGUGCUACAUUAAUUAUUUACGUAGAGCAUGGCAAGUGCAUAUUCUUCAUAACUAUGUCGAAUCUGUACGUAUGGCAUAGUCAAAAAGAGCUUUAUUAUUGAUUUGAGACAAUGGAAACAUUUCACUUCAUUUGCUAAGAAAUAAUAUUGACAGACGAUGUGUGGUUUACAUUAAAUUGUUUUAGCUCUAGCCUCAGAGCUCAGAGGUGUACAAAUUCUUUACUACUCCCGUCCCGUAAUAUAGCAACCUAGUACUGGAUGUCACACUUUAUAGUAAAAUGAAUCUGGACAGAAAGCAUGUUCGGAUUCGUUGUACUAUAUAUAAAGUGUCACAUCCGAUAUUAGGUUGCUAUGGGACGGAGGGAGUACAACUUUGUUGAUGCAUGGAGGCGUGAACAUAUACUAUGACUAUGUUGAUUAAUCCACUGCAUGCACACAAAGAUGGACAGAAUUUUAAUAUCUAAUAAAAAAUUGUCAACGUGGUCAAUCUACAUGUUGGAAGGCUCGAAAUGUAAAAAAAAAAUGAAAUGAAAAUUUACAAUGCGCUGAGUUGUGUUGAUUCAGGGGCAAGGAAUCUUGUAACUAAUAGUGUGAAAGAGAAUCGACGUUACAGUGGAGCUAGCAUGACAAUUUGUUGCGUUAAUUGAUUCGACUCUAUCCAUCACUUUUUUUUUUGACGGGAAGGACUGUUGCCAGGGCUCUGUCCCGCAGUGUCUUUUCAUUAAAGAAGAAAAAAAAUAUUUACAUGUAGUUUAAUUUACAUAGGAGAUAAAAAUUACUAAGGUUUGUAACUAAUUAAAAACUAUUUGCUUUAACGGAUCUUUCAUUCUGCACAUUAUCCAUCACCUAAUUAAUUAAUGUUGUUCUGCUACUGCAUCCAUUUUCACUCAGUAGACCGCAUCGUUCUCAGUUUCUCACAUUAUUGCUUGACCAUCCGCCUUGUAAUUCACAGCAAUAUACAUUUCCAUCGAUCACAGCAAUACAUGUUCUUUUUUUUUCGCUAGACCAUUGACGGGAAUCCGGUCUAGAUUUUAUAAGAUCGAAGAAGGUUUGGUCAGAAAGUGUUAGACUAUAUUGUUUACAUGUAUUUAUCGAGUCUUAUCUCAUUUAGUCCCGGUUCCUUUUAUAUAUAUAUAUAUAUAUAUAUAUAUCCUCCUAAUUUUAUUGAUAUAAAUCGGUUGAGUGGUUACGGACGGGUCUUUAUGUGCAAAAAUACCAUGACCAAUACAACUGUGUUGAGUCAUUCCUACGCACAUGGUAUCAAAUUUGUUUCCACUUCUGCUCCACCACAAACCCUAACCCUACUCCAUUAGAGUUCCGAAGAAGCGCUGGAGUUGUUAGCCUUCUUCUCGUUCUAGUACCUCGGCGGAUGCUUCUUUUAAUAAAGUAAGUAUUCGAGAUCUUCUUAUAAUAUUUAAUUUUUUUGCUUUAGUGAGAUGAUUCCCGUUGUUGCGGGUUUAUCGCUUAGUUGCAUUAUUAAGUGCUAUAGUACUUGGACUCUAGAUAACGAAGAAAGUUCCUGCGCGAGGCUAGAGUAGUAAUCAAUAACUUAGGCGUGGUGUCUAGGUUAUUUUCUUUUGUUGUGUGCUCCAUGGAAAGUAGGGUGGUCAGCAGAUAGUGAUAGCUCUAUCUGUCCUUCGUAUCCCUCCACGUUGAGGUACAUCAUAGAGCUGUAAUCCGAACUCAGCUUGGCAAAUCAGGGGAGAGCCACUGCCCGAAGCAUUGAUCUGAUAGGGUUUUACCUUUAACUCAAGACUAGUAAAUUAAUCCAUAUGAAUUCUCUUUAACCUUAGCCUACUAUUAGUUGUUGUUUUUGAUAGAAUUCUGUUCUUAUGUAUACACAUGUCCCCUGUGAUUCGAUACCUUUAGAAUACUCUGAAGUGAAUGUGCUUGUGGAUUUAUCUGUGACCGUAUCAAAUACCACCGGUGUAUAAGCAUUCAUACGGACAAAAAGAGUGUCGAGGAUGCACUUCAAAUAUUUCACUGCAGAUGAACGAGAAGCAGCUUCAUGAGUAUAUAUUUCCAUCCUUCUUAAAUUUUUCGACGAGAAACAUAAAUGCAAGCAUGAGUCAUCACAAUUCCUUUGAAAAAAAAUUAACAGAGUAAACUUGUUUUUUUAUCAAAAAAAUUAACAGAGUAAACUUGUUUUUUUAUCAGUCCACUUGAUUGUUCAGUUUAGGAAUCAGCCCAGACGUCAUAUUGAAUUUGUUUUUUUUUCUAAUUUACCAAAAACAACAUUCCAUGUUCAUCGGAAUAUUUUCAAAUUGCAAAAUUUCAAUCUUUCUUGUUUCAUGAUUAUGCAUUAGGUUGUUAUUGCUGAAACAGCUAGCGAAAGAUCAGAAGCAAUUACCAGUCUAAUUAAGAUAUUGGUGGUAUUGAGUCCCAACUCACGGGUUCUUUAAUUUUACAAUCCAACUCCAUAUUUCAGCUCAAUAAUCUAUACAAAAUUCAGCCUACGUUUUUGACCCCAUCUUUAAAUUUUAUAUGGUAAAAGGAUAGACCAAUAACACAACCAUAAUGUUGCUGGCAGCACAAAUGCUAAGAACAUGCAUACAUGAAGAAUAUCUCAAUUUCUUGUUGACAGAAAUGAAAAAAAAAGAUUCAAUUGAUCUGUGGGUGACAUGACACCGGCUGUUCGUUUGGUAAGAAGACGCAGCACGACCUGAAACACAUCCACCCUAGUAGUAGAUGUCGGUCGACUCUGGUUUUGUAUCCUGCAUCAUGGCUUCCGACGGUGGAUAUCGGUUAGUUCGUCCUCGCGUACGUAUACAUAUAGGCAUGACCGCCACCACGUGGUGGUUCUGGGAAUCAAAAGCACUCCAAGCUACUCAAUCCCUUAUGGUUCCCGGUGCCUUCCAAACCUAUGGGGACAGGGGACAUAAGGGUUGCCUAUUACUGCAAUCCAUGCAAAGUUGGAGGGGGCAGAAAAGUAUGUUUCAAUUUGUUUCUCUAUUUUUUUUAUGCGUAAGAGUAUUUAUAAGCAUUCAUGCAAAAAAAAAAAGAGUGCCGAAUAAGUAGUUGCACUGUAAUAGUUGAUAGGAGAGUCUGCAGCUCCAUUAAUAUAUAUCGCUCACGCAUCUUGAUUCUUGCAAGAGAAACGUAAAAUAUCAUGGCUUGAGAGAAAAAGGGAUAGUGGCCCGCGCUUUACUGCGGGAUAUAUAUUAGAUAAUGGAUAAAUGAUGAAAUCAUUUGGAUCGAAAUAUUAUGAAAAUGAUGAUUUAGCAUGUGUAUGCUUAGUUUUAGAAUGAAGUAAUUGUAGAUAUAAUUACUAUAUGCUUGCAUGUUGAGUUUUAUGUGUUUAAUGGCUUGAUGUUGCAUGCUUGCAUAUAGGUUUUAGAAGUGCUAAUGAAUACUAUGCUUGCAUGUUGAGCUUUAGAUGUUUAGUGGGCAUUAGCUUUAUAAUAAGAAGAGAUAAGCCAUCAGCUAAUUUGUGUAUUUUGUUCAAUAAGUACGCUCAGCUCAUUGGGAUUUGUUAUCAGGGUAGUUUUUACAAUUAGGUACCACAUUUUUAUACAAAAUUUGUUACUCUUAGGUACAAGAUACUUUAAUAUACCAAAAUUUUUAUUACUAUAAAAUUUGGGUACUUUCAGAUACCCUAAAGAUCGCAAAAUUUCUCCAUUAAGACAACCGCACUUUCCUCCCUAAAUCGUUUGUAGGAGUAGUCUGCCCCCGGCUUCAAAGGGAACUCCAUCUUUGGAGCCCAUGGCCCAAAGGAAAACCCCACCCUAAACUCUAGGCGAGGUGAUUCGAAGGGAGAGUGUGCAGUUCGUCCCCAACCCUAUGGAGACAUGCUUUGGACAUCCUCCAUCCAUUAGCCCUUUGGAGCCAAUAAAUGAGGAAAGGUCUGACCAAUCCACAUCUGUUCAUCGCCAUAUACUAGGUUAUUCAAUUCUCACCUACUAAUUGCCCGACCUCGAAUCCUAGCCACACCAUGUCUCUGCGCAAUGCCUCAGGUUCUAGGAAAGCCAAGAUUCGACAGUCUCCACUAUCGGCCUAUUUAUUGGACUGGACUGCCUGACUUAAUUACUAUGAAGGCGAGAGAGCCCCUACCAGGGCCCACUUGUCAGUAGUAUCGGCAGGGACAAAUUGAUGUAGCCUACCAUGGGCACCUUAAUAGUAAUUUUUCAAGUACUUGGUUUGGCACUGUAAAAACCAAACCUUUUGCUCCUUCGAAUCCAAUACAAAUUUUACUCCUGGUUAAACUCUUGCACUUCUAGAUACUUAACGGUUGGACAAAAACUCGUUUAUUCCAACACUACCUAGCUAGAUGAACGUGUAUUUGUUUAUAUAUUAGCGACAAUCCAUAUGCAUGCACGGUAUGCCAGUGUGUGGCUGAUCAUACUGUUUAUUUGAUCCCACAACAUAUUGAUCUCUCAAUUGAUCGUUGAUAUCUCUCUGUACCUGCAUGUCUGUAUGUGUAAUGUGUUUAUCAACACGCAUGAACACAUAAGACACGCAAUAAUUAAAGGGUCAAGCUCAACAUUACGUGAUUAAUUAAGCAAAGACGGGCAGCCCUACCGUUGGCACGCCGGCUGCGGCCUCGAAGUGGAGCUAAAAUGGUACAUUCUGAUGAUCAUUAAUUGUCGAUGUCGUUAUCUCCCAAAAUUUAAGGAUAUGAGAAUCACCCAAAAUUUAAGGACAUUUACACACAUGAUAAACUAUCCAAUGUAUAGCAUAAUUUAUCUAUUGUAUAUACUUAAAAGUCCAUUAAACUUUCUACAAACGCUUUUAAGCCGCCGUGUGGGACUCCUACAAACAUUAUUAAGCCGUUAUGUGACGCUUUAAUAAAUUAGAAGAAAUCUAAAAAAAUUCUGAGGAAAAAGAAAAUUAUUUAACCAUUAGACGCCACGUGGGACUUCUACAAACGUUUUUAAGCUGCUAUGUGACGCUCUAAUAAAUUAAGAAAAUCUAAAAAAUUUCUGAGAAAAAAGAAAAUUAUCUAACCGUUAGAUUAAAUCCGUUCACCCUUUCCUCUUGGACCCACAGGUACGUACGUACCACCACAUCCUAUUCCUUCCCCUCCUCAUUCUUCUCUCUAUUAACGUUAUGCACCAUAAUUUGUUACUAUAAAAAUUAUUAGAUCUAUUUACGUGGAAAUUUAAUUUAUAUAUGAAAUGAUCUUGGUGACAUAAAUAACUAAUAAUUAUUUUUUAGCCUAUCUACACGUUUAAUUUUAAACUUACUAUAAACGCUCUCAAGCGCCACGUGGAAUUCCUACAAAAGCUCCUAAACCGCCACAUGACGCUCUAACAAAUAAGAAAAAAUCAUAGAAAUUGUAAGAAAAAAGAAAAGAUAUUUGACCCAUCGAUUUUCAUUUAAACUGAUUGCUCCAUUAUUAUCAACCAUUGGAUUGGAUUUAUCAAGUAAUCAACAAACGCACGCACCACUGGUGGAGAAACCCUUUGUAGUCCCGGUUCGUAACCCCCCUUUAGUCCCGGUUUCCAAACCGGGACUACCAAUCCGGGACUAAAGAUAUCUAUCUUUAGUCCCGGGUAAAAUAACCGGGACUAAAGAUCGAUCUUUAGUCCCCCAACCGGGACUAAAGAUCGAUCUUUAGUCCCGGUUGGUAACACCAACCGGGACGGCUGAGCCAUCUUUAGUCCCGGUUGGUAACACUAACCGGGACAUCCAUGUUGCUGACCUUUUUUUUUUGCAUGGCCCUGUUGCUGUAUGGUAUAUAUGUUUCAGUACAUAUAUGCAUAUAUAAUAUAUGCAUAUAUAUAUUAUAUUAUAUUUAUAUAUGUUUCAAUACAUAUGUACAUGCAUAAUAUAUAUGUAUUUAUACAUAUAUAUGUUAUGCAAAUGCAUAUGUAUAUAUAUAUAUAUAUAUAUAUAUAUAUAUAUAUAUAUAUAUAUAUAUAUAUAUAUAUAUAUAUAUAUAUAUAUAUAUAUAUAUAUAUAUAUAUAUAUAUGACCAAAAUAUAUUUACAUUAUAGAAAAUGUGUACACAUUCAUAUAGAAACAUAUGUAGUCAUGUAUUAAUUACAAUCCAUUAUAUGUCCUAGCUACCUACGAUUUCGACGUAGUAGUAGUCGCUAGCUCAGAAGCUAAGGACCUAUGAAUUGUGUUUCCGUCGUAGUAGAAUUCACCCUUGGGAUCAAGGAUUUGUUCGUUGAUGAAUCCCAUGAGUUGUUCUUGAACCGCCGCGAUAAAUUCCUUGUGCGUGGUCAGGUUAUCCCUCAUGCGAAUAAACUAUAUGAAUGUAUGAAAUUGAUUAGUAAUUAAACAAGAAAUCGAUACGUAAUGAAAUUUUGAAUUUAUUUGUACGUACAUUGAGCUCUCUUGUGGUGAUGAUUUGGUCUGCAAGGCAGUGGCAAUACUCGCACACGUAAUAGCCGCACAAGUUAGUUCCCUUCUUUUGCUUUGCGCACUACAAAUAAAUGACAAACAACGAGAGAUCUAAUUAAUAUACACUUGUAUGUAUUUGAAUCAGAGAAAUAUAAAUGUAGAGCAUGUGUACUCACAGGAAAUUUAAACUUCUGCCUAAGUCUUUCUCUCCAUUUGCCGCGGACCAAAUGACGGAACCGAUACCAAGCCCUACAUGGAGUUUAAAGCUAUGAUUCAUAGUAGCAAUUAACAUAACAAGAUUUUCUUAAUUAACAGAGGAACUUAUGACGGUACCUGUCUAUAAGUUCGAAAACCUUGUCAAGCAUAGACUCUUUUUUAUCCAUUGAGUCAUAUACGUUGACGGUGCAGGCCGACAGGUCGAAGAGUAAAAGCACCUAGUGGAAUCUGUAAUGUGCGUGGGAUGCAUUACAUAUGAAACACUUAGCAAGUUCGUACGGGAAUGAAAUUUGGUAUAGAAAGACAGUAAAAUUAAACUAACUCUGUGUUGUACGGCAACAGUAUGAACGUCUUGUAAUGCUGUGCCUUCAGGAGAUGGACGAGAUUGUCCUCUGUGGCUUGCGGAUAUUGGUCGAGCAUUGCGACGUUUACUUUCCGAGGGUCGAUGAAUCCAGUAUCGAAAACCCCCCGCCGUCGGGCCCUUUGAAUCUCCAUUCUACAACGAUAAAAGGGAGUAUAUUAUUUUCUAUAGUCUACUUAUAUACAAGGACCUAAUUAAUUAAAGGAGACGUAGUAAGAAAUCUAACUGAAUGAUAUACUUACAAAAUCCAGCAACUCAUAAUAGAGACAUCAAGGGCGUCCAGCUGGUAUAGUUCGUAGAUUCCCUUGAAAUUGAUCCAGAGAAUGUCAUCUCCUUGCAAGAAGUCCGUGUCCCUGAUCCUCGCUCCGAUCAUCUCUCUACCGGUGGCGCUCAUCUCCAUGUACAGCUGAUGGAACUUGUACAUUUGUGUGGGUAGGGACUGUAGCAGCUCAGGCUUGACAAGCGGUUUACCGAGUUCGUACAUGUAUUUCACUUCCGCCUUUUCGAUUGGUGCGACUCCUAGCAAUUGAUCCGUAGUUAGACCGGUGUCAGUAAUAAAUUCUUCUAUCGUCAUUUCUUUACCGGUCACCAACGGCUCGAUCUCCUGGUUUGGUUACUCUCCAAGCUGAGGGACUGGUUUGGACUUUCCAGAAGAUGCUUUCUUCAGCGUUCGCUCAUAGUCCGAUAGCUUAAUGGCCUCCUUGGCAGGUGCAGACAUACCCCUGAAGAAGUUCAUGACACUCGGGUCUAUAGGAAUCUUCUUUUCUGGACUUCGAGGCUUGAAUUGUCUCUUGACUUCUGAUGCCACGUAAGCGUCAAGCUCCUCAUGCGUACAAUCGUACCCUGGGUCCUUGUUCUUGGCGGCGUCAACUUUCGCCUUCUUCGUUGCCCUUGUGUGGGCAGGCGGUGGAGCUUGGGGAGCCCUUGACUUUGAAGGUGACGGAAGAGGAGCUUGCGGAGGAGUCGGUGUAGGAGCCCGAGGAGGAGUCGGUGCAGGAGCCUGAGGAGGAGUCAGUGCAGGAGCCUGAGGUGGAGACGGUGCUGGAGCAUGAGGAGGAGACGGUGCAGGAUCCUGAGGAGGAGAUGGCGGAGCCGGAGGAGAUGGUGCACGAGACGCCGCUUGUCGCCCAGGGAGGAUGAUGUACCGCCUGCGCCAUAGAAUAAUGGCAUGGCUUGUGUCUCGUAGAUGCGUCUCACCGUCUCCUCCAGGGUAAUCCAGCUCGAGAUCUUUGUACGCGCCUUCGACCAACUCAACUUCGACUUUGGAGUAUCCUGCUGGAAUCGGCCUGCAGUGGUAAGUACCUGAAGGGUCCGUUGGGAUGGCCAUGUCCGACGCCACCUUCAUGUGGUGAGAGGUUAUUUAUUAGUAAUCAACAUAUAUAAGCAGCAACUAGCGGAAUGGGCAAAUCUAAAAUAUAUAAACUACGAGCUUACCUUUAUUGAUAAGUUUUUGAAAGGAAUAUGCAGCUCACAUGGUGUCCGCUGAGUGAUGUCAUCAACGGGGCAGGUGGAUUCGUCCUGGGUUUGCGUGGCGUCCAUGCUCUGUGAUCCUACCUGCCCCGUUGAGGCGCAGCUGCUACGGUUUCCUGACGGGCUCACCAUUGCAGGAGAAAUGGUCGGCUGGGGAUCAUUGGACCGAUGUGCGGCCAUGCGUUCAUCAACCUUCCUUGCCACCUCCUCUUGCAUGCUGAACUCGUAGCUCGAUACCCUGAACUCAAGAUCUGCAAUCUUCGCCUCGGUAUCUCUCUUGCUACUCAUCCGACUCCUGUACGUGUGGAUGUCCUACUUGAACCCAAUCUUCCAAGGAAUCACCCCUUUCCCUCGUGUUUGUCCUGGAUGCUCUGGAGUCUGCAGGGCGAGUGACAGCUCGUCCCUCUCUCUAUCUGGUCGGAACGUGCCCUGAGAAGAGGCUUCCACUGCGUCUGUUAGUCGACACGCAGCCUCUCGUAUCUGAUCGCCGAAGACCAGUGAGCCAUCAGCUGGGUUGAGCGUUCCACCGUGAGCAUAGUACCAGAACUUCGAUCGUUCCGGCCAAUUAGUGGUGGCCGGUUCGAUACCCCUCUCAAGCAAGCUAGCCUCCAUCUCCUCCCACUUCGGCAUCGCGACGCUAUAGCCGCUUGACCCCAAGUGGUGAUGGUACUUCUUCUUGGCGGCAUUUUCUUUGUUUCUUUCCAUCAUCGCCUGCCCUUGUUCACCUGUCUUAUAUGCAACGAACUCGUCUCAGUGAUCCCUUAGCUUUGGGAAUGUGUCGAAGUUCGGUGUCUGCCCCUUCAGGAUAUAUUUCUUGUACAACUCUCCCUUGAAGCUCUGAAACUGUUCUGCCAUUUUCUUCAGAGUCCACCUUUUCACUUUGUUCUCUGUACCCGCGGGAAGGGUGAAUGUCUCGAGCAUUGUGGUCCACAGCAUCUCUUUCUCCGAAUCUGGCACAAAGCUCUCAUGAUCUCCGCGUGCCCUUGUUCUUCGCCAGUACACCGUACUGACAGGCACGUUAUCCCGCACAACCCAACCGCUGUGACAUACAUAGUUCUUGGCGGCUUUUGCCGGGCACUAGGUCGUCCAUCUUCUUCCACUUCCGUUAUGAUGUGCCGACCCUCAAGCUUCUUCGCGGCACCUCGUUGCCCACGUGCCCUCUUCUGUCCAACGGAGGGUUGACUUCCACUAGCCUCCUCCUCCUGGUUCCCCUCCACAUCCCUUUCCACGUGCCCCUCCUGGUUCCCCUCCGCAUCCCUCUCCACGUUCCCUUCCUCGUUCAAAUACUGGUUUGGAUCCUCGUUCCCCUCUUCUUCGUUCCAGUACUGGCUGCUUCCCUCCGCGAUUGAAUCGUACAAUAUCUGUUCAUCAUCGCGAUCAGCCAUCUGUUCAUACAGGAAACAUCUGCUAAGUCAUGAGACAUUUAUGUUUUAACAAUCUUAUAUUAAAACUCAAAUAAUCUUAUAUGCUAAGACUAAAAUAGUCAUGUAUGCUAAGUGUAACUGUCAUAUAUUAGAACCCUACACAAUCUUACAUGCUAAGUCUAAUUACAAAUCUAAUAAUCUUAUACUAAAACUCAAAUAGUGAUGAUAUAUGCUAAGUCUAGGUGACGUAUAUUAUAGGACCCUAGCUAGUCAAUAAUUAUAUACUAAGUCUAAUUACAAAUAUAAUAAUCUUAUAUUAAAACUCAAAUAAUCUUAUAUGCUAAGAUAAAAAUAGCCAUGUAUGCUAAGUGUAACUGUCGUAUAUUAGAACCCUACACAAUCUUACAUGCUAAGUCUAAUUACAAAUCUAAUAAUCUUAUACUAAAACUCAAAUAGUGAUAUAUAUGCUAAGUCUAGGUGACGUAUAUUAUAGGACCCUAGCUAGUCAAUAAUUAUAUACUAAGUCUAAUUACAAAUAUAAUAAUCUUAUAUUAAAACUCCAAUAAUCUUAUACUAAAACUCAAAUAGUCAUGUAUUCUAAGUGUAACUGUCGUAUAUUAGAACACUACACAAUCUUAUAUGCUAAUUAAGUCUAAUUACAAAUCUAAUAAUCUUAAUUGCAUUACAAAUAUAACAAUCAUAUAUAUAUAAUUACGUCACUUGCCUGGGCGAAUUCUUUCGAGGGCUAGCUCUACCACUCCGGCUUGAGGGACGACUCCGACAACGUCUUUUCUGCAAGAUACAAAAAUAUGUAUUAGGAUAAACGCGAAGUAACAUAUAUUGCAUUUAACGUUCACGUUUCGUUCACGAUAUCGUUCACGUUCGCGUUCUCGUUAAGGUCACGUUUCAUUCACCUACGUUUGUUCGUUCACGUUCAUUAACCUGCCUAUAAUUGCAUUUCACGUUCACGUUCGUCCGACAACGUUCUCAUUCACGUUCAUUCACCUUGUUCUCGUUCACAUUCGUUCUCUCGUUCUCAUUCACAUUCGUUGGCUCGUUCACGUUCGUUCGCUCGUUCUCAUUCACGUUCGUUGGCUCGUUCACGUUCGUUCGCUCGUUCUCGUUCACGUUCAUUCACCUUGUUCUCGUUCACGUUCAUUCGCUCGUUCACAUUCUCGGUGUGGCGGCAGCGGAGCGGCGGCGGGGCGGCGCGGCGGCGGCGUGGCGCCGCGCGCGGCAUCGGGCCGGCGCGUGGCGCGGCGGUGUGGCGCCACGCGCGGCAUCGGGCGUGGUGCGGCGGCGGCGUGCGGCGUCGUGGCGUCUCGUGGCGCAGCGUCGUUGUGGCGCGGCGUCGUGUCGUGACGAGGUCGGCGUCGGCGUCUGAAACUCGGCGGCUGGCGGCAACCGAGAGGGAGAGAGAGAGAUCAAGAUCGGAGAGAGAGAUCGAGAGGGAGGCGGCGCGCGACGGCUCUCACCCUAGAGAUGCGGCGGCGGCGGAGGAGGCAGAGGCGGCGGCGACGACGACGAGCGCGAGACGACAGCGAGAUACGGCGGCGGUGUCAGCGCGGGGAUGCCCUAGGCAAUGGCGGCGAAGGAGAAGCCGAGAGAGAUCGAUCGGGCAAAAACUUCUAAGUGUUGGUGGAGAAGACGAGGGCGCGCAUCGGGAAUAUAUAUAGCCCUAGAUCUUUAGUCCCAGUUGAUGAGAACAACCGGGAGUAAAGAUAUCUUUACUCCCGGUUGACUAAAGAAAAGAUCUUUAGUCCCGGUUGUUCUCAACAACCGGGACUAAAGAUAUCUUUACUCCCGGUUGUUCUCCUCAACCGGGACUAAAGAUCUUUUCCCGCUAUUUCCAAAUUCUUUUUAAACCCGGUUAGGGUUAAGAACCGGGACUACUAAUAAGCGCACUGAAUAUUAUUUUCCAUUACAUAUGUUUUUCUAAAAUAGAAGAUAAUGCAUUACAAUUAUUUAAAGUACAAAGAUUAAUGACAAUUACUUCGAAAAAUUAUUGUUGUCUGUAAUAAAUUAAGUGGAUAAAACGUAAUAAGCAAAUAUAUGAUUUAAAAUUAACAAAAAUUCUAAUAAUCAUAUAUACUUAGCAUAUGAAUGAUAUUAUUAAAUUGGUAAAAACUCUAAUUAACAUAUGUAUAUACAUACGGCAUGAUUUAAAAUUAAUAAAAAUUGUAAUCAUCAUAUAUACUUAGCAUAGGAAUUAUAUUAAAUUAAAUUGUGAAAAACUCUAAUUAACAUAUGUAAAUGCCACAUGCAUGAUUUAAAAAUUUUAAAAAUUCGAAUAGUCAUAUAUAAUUAGCAUAUGAAUGAUAGUAAAUUAAAUUGUGAAAAACUCUAAUUAACAUAUGUAAAUGCCACAUGCAUGAUUUGAAACUUUUAAAAAUUCUCUUGUCAAUUAUAAUUAGCAUAUGAAUGAUAGUAAAUUAAAUGUUAAAAACUCUAAUUAACAUAUGAAAUUGCCACCUGCGUGAUUUAAAACUUUUAAAAAUUGUAAGGAUCGCAUAUAACUAGCAUAUACAUGAUUUAAACUUGUUAAAACCUCUAAUAAUCGUGCGUAAUUAACAUAUGCCAUACAUCAAUUGAUUUAUAUGGAUAAUCAAUACAUCCAAAAUAGUUUACAUCGUGUACACAAUAAUUACGGCAAUACAUCGGCGGUGACGGUUGACCGCACGUACUUUCUCCUCACUAUUGUUCCCUCCUUGUGAUCGCUACGUGAGUAAGGGGUGUCUUCAUUUGAUAGGAGGAUGCUAGGGUCAAUCGUCACCGUGAAAGGGGGUUGCCCAUCCAACUGAUCGUAAUCCUCGUCAGUCUUGUCCUCAACUCCGACGAUUUUUCUUUUGCCUGGGAGAACCACGUGAUGCUUAGGCUCGUCAGGUCCUCUGCCCUUCUUUCCUUUGCUAGACAUGUCCUUCACGAAAAAGACUUGCGUUACAUCAUUGGCAAGGACAAAAGGUUCGUCCGAGUAUCCAACCUUGUUAUGGUCAACCGUUGUCAUCCCACUGUAAUCAAUCAUUACGCCUCCACCAGUCAACCUAACCCAUUGGCACCGGAACAGAGGGACCUUGAGAGGACCAUAGUCAAGUUCCCAUAUGUCCUCGAUGGCACCGUAAUACGUGCCAGUUGUUCCAUCGUGUCCCAUGGCAUCGACACGAACAGCACUGUUUUGGUUCGUGCUCAUCAUGUCUUGGGCUAUCGUGUAGAAUGUGUACCCAUUAAUCUCAUAUCCCUGGAAUGUCGCGAUCGACCCAGACGGUCCCCUCGCUAGGAAGGCAAGUUGUUGGUUGAUCGACUCGUUACCCAUGAGAUGUUGUCGUAUCCACGCGGGGAAAGUAUCAAUGUGAUGCCGUGUAAUACAUGCAUCGGACUUACCGAUGUUCCUGGCACGAACUAGAGCCAAGUGCUCCUCGAUGUAAGGAGCUACCAAUGAAGAUUGUUGCAAAACCGUGGAAUGGGCUUUACGAAAUAAAUUGUUGUCUACCGUCAUUAUUGCUUUCCUUCCGAGAGUUCCCUUUCCUCGUAGUCUCCCUUCAUGGCGUGAUUCAGGUACCCCGAUUGGGCGAAGAUCUUCGAUAAAUUCUACGCAAAAUUCGAUGACCUCCUCUGUUCCAUAACCCUUGGCGAUGCUUGCCUCUAGACGAGCACGGUUACGAACAUACUUCUUCAGAAUGCCCAUGUACCUCUCGAAAGGAAACAUGUUGUGUAGGUACACAGGUCCGAGAAUACUGAUCUCUUUCACAAGGUGACAAAGCAGAUGCGUCAUUAUAUUGAAAAAUGAAGGUGGAAAUAUCAACUCAAAACUGACGAGACAUUGCACCACAUCAUUCUGAAGGGCUUCUAAUCUAUCCGGAUCGAUGACCUUCUGCGAAAUUGUGUUCAUGAAUGCACAUAGCUUUGUUAUUGUUGCCCGGACAUUAUCUGGAAGGAUACCCCUUAUUACAACUGGUAGUAGUUGUGUCAUCAACACGUGACAGUCAUGAGACUUUAGGUUUGUGAACUUCUUCUCCUUCGUGCUUAUUAUUCGCUUGAUAUUCGUGGUGUAUCCAGACGGUACCUUUAUGCUCUCCAAGCAUUCAAACAUACUUUCCUUCUCUGCCUUGCUAAGAGUGUAGCUGGUUGGACUCAAGUAAUGGCUUCCUUUCUCCUUUGGUUCCGGGUGAAGGUCGCCGCGUUGUUCCAUAUGCUUCAGAUCAUUACGUGCUUCCAGUGUAUCUUUCGACUUUCCGUAUACACCUAGGAAGCCAAGAAGAUUUACGCAAAGGUUCUUAGUGAGGUGCAUCAUGUCGAUUGCGUGGCGUACGUCCAAGAAUUCCCAAUAGGGUAACUCCCAAAAUAUAGAGUUCUUUUUCCACAUCACCGCGUGACCAUCUGCGCUCUCUAUAGGCUGGCUUCCAGGCCCCUUUCCGAACACUACUUUAAGAUCUUUAACCAUAGCAAACACUGUUUUCCCGAUGCGAUGUUUAGGCUUCGUACGGUGGUCAGCCUUAUGUUUGAAGUGCUUGCCUUUCUUCCGUACCGGGUGGUUUGCUGCAAGGAAUCGACGAUGACCCAUGUAUACAACCUUCCUACAGUGCUUAAGAUACGUACUUUCUGUUUUAUCCAUACAGUGAGUGCAAGCCUUGUACCCCUUGUUGGACUGUCCGGAUAGGUUGCUAAGUGCAAGCCAAUCGUUGAUGGUUAUGAACAGUAGCGCUCGUAUGUUAAACUCCUCAUGUUUGUCCUCGUCCCACACGGGGACACCUUCCUUCUUCCACAACAGCUUAAGAUCUUCGACCAGUGGUCUUAGGUGCAUAUCGAUGUUGUUACCAGGUUGCUUGGGGCCUUGAAUAAUAAUCGGCAUCAUUAUGUACUUCCUCUUCAUGCAUAGCCAGGGGGGGAGGUUGUAGAUACACAUCGUAACGGGCCAAGUGCUAUGGCCACUGCUCAUCUCUCCAAAAGGAUUCAUGCCAUCCGUACUCAAACCAAACCGUAUGUUUCGUGCGUCCUUUCCAAAUUCUUUAAAUUUUCUGUCUAUGUUUCGCCACUGCGAACCAUCGGCGGGGUGUCUCAGCAUCCUGUCCUGUUGACGCUCUUCAGCGUGCCAUCGCAUCAUUCUAGCAUUCCCCUUGUUCCUGAACAAAAGCCUUAUCCGUGGUAUUAUAGGGAAAUACCACAUCACCUUAGCAGGAAUUAUCUUCUUUGUUAGCUGCCCGUCAACUUCUCCUGGAUCGUCUCAUCUAAUCUUGUAUCGUAGUGCUUUGCAAACAGGCCAUGCUUCUAGGUUCUCAUACUCCUCACCGUGAUAUAGGAUACAAUCAUUCGGACAUGCGUGAAUCUUCUGAACUUCCAGUCCUAGCGGGCAGACUAUCUUCUUAGCCUCGUACGUUGUCUCGGACAAUUUGUUUCCCUCCGGAAGAAUGUUCUUGACGAGUUUCAAUAAAUUGCCAAAUGCCUUGUUACUAACCCCAUUUUUUGCCUUCCAUUGCAAGAACUCCAGAGUGGUAUCCAACUUUUUGUGCCCCUGCUCGCAACCUGGGUACAACGAAGUUCUGUGGUCCUCUAACAUCUUGUCCAAUUUAUGGGCUCCCUUUUCACUUUCGCAGUCCUCCUUGGCGUCCUGCAACAUCUGACCAAGAUCAUCCGCAACGUCGUUACCAUCAGCAUCCCUUUCCUCCUCGCCCGUUUGAUUUCCUUCAAAUCCAACGUACUGAGCAAAGUCCGGAAUAUUGUCGUCUUCACUUCAUCUUCUUCCAUUUCAACACCUUGCUCUCCGUGGAAUGUCCAACAAUUAUAUCUUGGCAUGAACCCCGACUCAAACAAGUGGAAAUGAAUAGUCCUGGAUGCAGAAUACUCCUUCUGAUUCUUACACUUAUUGCAUGGACAACAAAUAAAACCCCUUUGCCUGUUAGCUUCGGCCACUCUCAAAAAAUAGUGCACGCCGUCAAUAAACUCUUUGGACCGCCGGUCAGCGUACAUCCAUUGCCGAUCCAUCUACAUGAGUCGAAAAAAAAUCGUACAAAAAUAAUUAUUCUUACAAUAAUGACAGUCAUGCAAUAAUUAUAAGAUAAUUACAAACUGUUUCAACAGUCAUACAAUAAUGACAUAUCUUUAUUCAUACAAAAAUCAUAAAAUAUUACACCAAAUAAUUCUUAUUUACUAUUUCUAAAGUUUUAAACUAAUUUUAAUGUGUUUUACUUCUUUUAAUUUUCAUUUUAGUUUGUUUUCUAGUAUUCAAGAUUAACUUUCAUUAUAGUUUUCCUUCUCAACUAUUUUAUAAAACCUUCUUUAGCAAAUCAACUAAAUUUCUAUAUAUUCUUUCUUCCCCACACAAAUUUUCUCCCUCAUCAACUUACAACUAAAUUUUGGAGACAAAAAAGUGUGCAAAACAUAGCUGCAAAUGUAAUAUGACAAAAAAAACAUUGGAGGAUGAAGUUGUAAACCUUUUAGGCACCUCCGAUUUGUAUGUAAUCACCGAAAUAAAUUCACUAGAAAUUUUGGCAUGACCUCCCCUCUUUUUUGAAGAAAUUUUGAAACUUGCUCGGGCAGCUGGAGGAGGAAGAAGACAUAUAUAUAGAGGUGGGACUUUAGUCCCGGUUGGUGUUACCAACCGGGGCUAAAGAUCCCCGAGAUCUUUAGUCCCGGUUGGUAUUACCAACCAGGAUUAAAGUUACGAUCUUUAGUCCCGGUUGGUGUUACCAACCGGGACUAAAAAUCCCGGGGGGCCUGACAGGCCCUGACAGCAUUUGAACCGGGACUAAAGAUCAAAUAUGCCCGUUACCCUUUUUAACCGGGACUAAAGAUCAUCUUUAGCCCCGGUUUUUAUUGCAUCCGGGACUAUUGUGGAAUUCGGCCGACCGACGAAAGAUGGUCUCCACCAGUGCACGCAAGAGAGUGGAAAAAAAAUAAGAUGCGUACCUAAAAUCAAACCGGCUAAUAAUAAGACAUGUAUGUACCUAUAAGCAAGACAUGUAAAAGAAAGAGUCCGAACCUCCCACCAGAUUUUUACUUUGUUUUAACACCUGUUCACUUUUCUUGAAAUUAUUUUUAUUAAUGAUGUAAAAGAUAAUUGUCAUAAAUAUUUUAUAGUAGAUUAGUGUAGAUUAUUUCUCUUUUCAAACACCGUACAAACGCACAUGUUAAUUAACCCAUCUCUUUAGAUAUACAUACUCACAUCCUAUUCAUAGGAGGGGAAAAAGUAAUGUUACUAUUCAUCAUCGAAAAAAUGGGAAAAUAACAUAAGUACUCCCUCUGAAAAGGAAUCAAUUGAAUAAAUCUAAACAAGUUAUCCGGAUUCAUCAGAGAUGGCUAUUCACCGAAAAAAACCAUACCUUCGUACAAUGAGAAAAAUAUUAAUCCUUCCCUCAUAAUUCUUAAAUAAAAAUAUAAAUAUUGCGCCAUGUGACACCAUCGAUUUUCAUUUAAAUCGGUGGACCCAUAUCCAUAUUAAGGCCUCCUCUGAAUAAAGCGAAAGUUUGCUACAGGACACCAAAAAAUAUGUAAUUAGCUAGGUGACACUGUAAGAACGUAUAUCUGCUAUGAGUAAAAAAAUGGUAAUUAGCUGCUGGACACUUGUGGCAUAUUUUGUUAUAUCCAAAUGAAAAGGAGAGAAACAAUCGUGAAAGUAUAUUUUGCCCCUUGCUACUAUGCGCGGCUCGCAUAUAUAUAGCUCUGACGCCGUGGUGGCCACGACAAGGGCGGCAGAGGGUAUGGCAGCGCAGCGCUACUGCGAGACCGACUGCGAUAGUCUGCGCUCUGUGGUGCCUGCUCGACAUGAACCAGGAGGUGUUCCAAGUUGUGCUCAUCCCAAGCAUGGUGUGUGGCAAAGCAUCGGUGCCGGCAUGGCCCUUGCACUGCAACGGUGACGAAGCAGGAACAACGCGGAGCCAUGGGCCCUGGCGCACUCCUUGAACCCCUCUCCCCUAGAGAGCCACCUCGCUAGCAGCGGGUGCAGUGGCAAUGUCGAAGGUGUAUGCGAGCCGGACUUAGUAAGCAGGGGCAAAAUCAUACUUUUGUGAUUGUUUUUCUCUCGAUUUGCUUUGGAUAUUAUAAAAUAAUGUCGCGGGUGUCCAACAGUUAAAUUAUUAAUUUUUCGCGGUACUAAAAUAAAAGAAAGUACUAAAAUAGCUCACCAAAAAUCAAAAUAUCCCACCUUAAUUUUUUACAAAACUGGUAGACCUAUUACUUAUAUCAUGUUAGACAUCUAACAACUUUCUAUCAACUUAAUUAAUUUUUCUCUUACCAUGUAUAUAGGAGGUAUUUACCAAAUUUGAUAUUUAUGCUUUUAUCAAUAAAUUAUCAUUUUAGGAGAUAAAUUAAUAAUCUUAAGAUGGUCAUAGCAUCUAAAUUAUAUAUAUGAUCUAUGAAGUCACGUCACGUGGCCAGUUGAACAACAUAUUGAUCAUACUAAGCACAUUGGUUACACUAAGAAAUCUUAGCAGUGAAACAACCAUAAUGUGGCCUCAACAAUAUAUAAGCCAAUUCUAGAUAUGAAUUAAAAGACCUUAUCCAUUUUUGUUUGGUACAACUUACUACGAUACAUUGUGAAUUCGUGAAAUUUAGCAUAUAACAAUCUAAAAAUGUGUAAUUAUUACAUGACGCCCCAGUUUUGUGGUAAUUUGCUAAAAAAAAUACUACGACCUCUUUUUUAAAUUUUCUUAAUUGGAACGAGAUAAUUUAUAAUGGAUGCCUUUACCCCAUGCCGAGUUGUAGGAUCAACCCACUUAUAUUUUCACCCUAAAAUACAGAGAUCAAAGCAUUGCAAAGAUGGUUCAUAGAGUGGAAUUCUCAAGAAAAAAUGAAGAUGAAAGGAAUGAAAAUUGAACAAAGUUUAUCUAAUUUUAAUUUUUUUUGUUGGGUUUAUAACCCAUUCUAAAUAGAAAUAUUCAAAAACUUUAGCAAGACUAAUAAAAUGAAUAUAUUUAAAAUUUCAAACAGAAUCUAACAAAAAAAAUUAGACAUUUAUAGGAAACACAUCUAUUAUUUCAACACAAAAUUUUCUCAUGAACUAAAAACUACACGGUUUAAAAUAAUUUUAGUUCAUAAUUUAUAUGUUGCAAGUAACCAGUGUUCAAAGCAUGUUAAAUAAAUUCAAUUUUAGUUUAUGAUAAAGUAAAAUAAUAUUUUUUAUAGAAAACCACCUACACAUGGACAUUCGUAAUAAAAUUUCACACAUGCCUACGCAUAUGCGUGGGCUACCUUCCUAGUUUUAAAGAAAAAGAAAAGGAGCAUGCAAAACUAUUCAAAUUGGGGGUUGACUCAACAUGAAUGAUUAACGGAAGGCUUUCCUUCCUAGCAAAUGAGUUCCCUUGUUUGGAAGGAAGGAAGGAAUGAUAGCCUAUAGAAAUGAUAGAGCCAUGGCAAAGAAUUGGCCAUUGGAAUGUAAGAAAAUCAGUUUGGUUACCGAUGUGCGACUGAUCGAGAGAAUUCAGCACUGGCAACACAUAGGGAGGCAACAGUGUGCAAUCAAGGAGGCUAGAAGAGCUUCGUAUUUUGCAUGCGGGUAUCAAAUUCUGCAUGCAUCUCUUAAGCCCUAGCAUAUGGUGUAAUGGAAAUAUCGAUGCACUCUGAUCAGCAUAACUUGAUAAUUUCACUGGAGUAUAAUUUUACUACAAAAGUCCUCACUUCCUUUCUAUCCGAAAUUCACGACAGAGAUUUGGUUUGUAGCUUCUAUUACACUCCGCUUGGUGAAACUGAAUAACAUAUUAACAUGUGUCCAUAUAUAUAUAUAUAUAUAUAUAUAUAUAUAUAUAUAUAUAUAUAGGGAAACUCGUAUAUGAAUCGAAGUUCAUAUGAACCAUAAAUCUUGACCGUUGAGGGUUCCAAGAUACGUGCGCAAGUGGCUAAGAGUUAGGAGAAUUGAGUUCAACUAGUAGGACUGUUCCUUUCUUAAUUACACUAGCAAACAGUUAUGGUGCUCACGCACAAGUAGUACAGAAAUGCUUUUUUUUUUCACACUUCAAGCACAGCCUUGUUUUGUCUUGUCACUCAUUCAUGCCAAUCUUAUAUUUUUGACCAACCUAGUCAGGAGAGUUGGGAAGACUAGCUGCGUACUAGCUUUUUUCCCUUGAUCCGACAUUCACUGUGCAAAACUAAUUUUAUAAAUUUAUUUGUAUAUUUGGGUAAGUAAACAUUGCUAAUUAGCUGAUCUAAUCAUUUUUUGCAUGUCAAGUGAUACUAUAUAAUCUCAAAAUUGGCUCUUUACCGGUGGUAUACUAGUAUUAUGGCGGGAUUACAUUACUUUUGUAAUUACAAUUAGCAUGACUAGAUUGGUUGGUUAGAAAGACAUAUACGCACCACACAAGUUGAUUGGCAGUUAAUGGAUACCAAAAUUGACCAAAGCAUAUAUCAAAAUCUAGGUACAUUAGUUGAUGGGCCACAUGCUUUUUUAUCUCACAGACAAUAUUUUCUCUAGACAUUAUUUUCUCUAGAUUAUAGAAAAAUAGAUUUAUGAUUAGCAUAUAUUUGUAGAAAUAUCAGUCAUGUAUUUUUUAUUUCAAUAAAUCCCAAGUGAUAUAUCAUUUUCAGACAUCACUUUAAAUGUCAUUUUCACAAAAUAUCAUGUUUGGGUGGUGAGUGGACAUUCAUCUUGAUAUAUUUUCUAAGCAGACUAUAACAAAAUGAGAUGUUAACAUAUAGAUGUAAAAAAAAUACCAGACAUGUGUUCUUUUAUUUUAAUACACGCCAAAGUGAUAUAGCGCAGUUAUAUAUAACUGAUAGACACAAUGACCAACUGACAAAAACUGGUACUCCCUCCGUUGUUUUUUAAUAGAUGACGCCGUUGACUUUUUCUCACAUGUUUGAAUAUUCGUCUUAUUCAAAAACUUUAUGCAAUUGUAUAAGAUAUAAAUCACACUUAAAGUACUAUGAGUGAUAAAACAACUCAUAAUAAAAUAAAUUAUAAUUACGUAAAAUUUUUGAAUAAGACGAAUGGUCAAACAUGUGAGAAAAAAUCAACGGCGUCAUCUAUUGAAAAACGGAGGUAGUAGUAUUUUAAAGCAUGCCCAUUUCAUCACCAAAUGUGAUUUAGUAUGCAUUCGAACUAGCUGUUAUGGCACGCGAGACGAUAUAAAUCAUUAGCGAUUGUAAGUUUUAAAAAUAGAUUUAUUUAAUUUUUUUAAAAAAACUUCUAUAUAGAAAUCUAUUACAAAGAAACAUACCGUUUUAGCAUAUUGAAAACGUACUCACAUUAAGUGAGAGAUUUAUUCAACAAAAACUCACUAACGUGCAAAGUGAAGUUGUGCAUGAGAAAAAGGAAUAUGAAGUUGGGAAACUUAAGAACACGUCCUAAAUCAUUUUUGCAAAGUGAUGUCCGAAAAUAAUAUUGCAAAAUGAUUUCAAUCACAGGCGUGUGACGUCGGCUUGGCUAGACACAAGAUAAAGUUUUGACCAAACAGGUGCUCCUGUACCAGCAUGGGACUUUGGUGUCAGGAUGUGGCCAUGUGGGUGCGGCAGUUGUACAGCUAUUACCAAGCAAAUCAGCAUGCAUAUAGCUCUCUAUAGGAAUGGAACGGAGUAGGUACAUCUUACACUUGCAUUAGACAUAAUAGAUCAAACACAUCCCUGUGCAAUGCGUACACGUGUCAGGCAUAUGAGUAAGGCGCAUAUGAACCGUGUCAAAAGUUUCAACUUUACGGCAAUAUCAAUCAACUAAAAGUCCUAUCUAUCAAUCCUUACAGCGGAUUUGUCGGGUACGAGAGUGGUUGAAUAAGUAUUGCAUGUGGAAGGAAGUAGACGAAAAAGAUUUUGGAUUCGAAAUAGGCGCAUUCGACUAAGUCGUACUUUGAAUCCAAUUUCAAGUUCGAUUAGAAGGAUAGAAAGGCCGCGAGGAUCGGAAAAGAAAAUUCAAAUCUUUUUAAUUGCUUCUCCUUUUUUGCUAUUUUCUUAUUAUUUAUAUAAUCCAUUCGAUUCUAUUUUUAGAAUACUAAAGUAUUUAAAAAAAGUAUUCUAUAAAAAAUCUUUUUUGGCAAACUCAAAAAUACAAUAGUCAAUAUUCGUUAUAAUAGAUAUACUUAAUUAUAACAUAAAAAUCUUAAGAUAUUUUUUGAAUAGAUCAAAUCGAAUAGAUAGAAAUAGUAAAUUUGAAUGGAGACACCUAUUCUAUGAUGGAUUUUAACUUACCCUCUAUUUUCGUGCCUUUAGUAGGCUUAGUAUUUCCGGCAAUUGCAAUGGCUUCUUUAUUUCUUUAUGUGCAGAAAAAUAAGAUUGUCUAGAACCGACGGGAACGAAUUUUCUCAAUGUAUUUCCACACAGGAUCAUAAUACGGAUCUUUUGUAGUGUAAGUAAUAUAAUAUGGUAUGUUAUGUGGCUCUUUCUACACACAAAUGCAAACCCGCUAUGGAUGGGGAUUAUGGAUGCGGAUAUAGGCUACGAGCAUAAAUGCAUGCAUAUGCGGAACCAGGUAUAGUGAGUUUUUUUAAGUGGAUCAACAAAUACUUUUUGAAUAGAAAGUCAAUAUAUCUAACCAAUUAUUUUACAGGAGUAUCUAGUUGGCGAAGGCGAUUUCAGAAUAAAAAAAGUAAAGUCAAAAUCAUUUAGCUUAUUCUCUCAAUUUCAAUCGACCGCUGUUAGUAUAUCUAAUAUGAAUUGGCGAUCAGAACACAUAUGGAUAGAACUUCUAAAAGGUUCUCGAAAAAGAGGUAAUUUUUUCUGGGCCUGUAUUCUUUUUCUAGGUUCACUAGGAUUCUUAGCGGUUGGAGCUUCCAGUUAUCUUGGUAAGAAUAUUAUAUCUGUACUUCCAUCUCAACAAAUUCUUUUUUUCCCACAGGGGGUCGUGAUGUCUUUCUACGGAAUCGCAGGCCUAUUCAUUAGUGCUUACUUGUGGUGCACUAUUUUGUGGAAUGUAGGCAGUGGUUAUGACCGAUUCGAUAAAAAAGAGGGGGUAGUGUGCAUUUUUCGUUGGGGAUUCCCUGGAAUAAAACGUCGUGUCUUCCUUCGAUUCCUUAUGCGGGAUAUCCAAUCAAUUAGAAUUCAGGUUAAAGAAUGUCUUUUUUCUCGUCAUAUCCUUUAUAUGGAAAUCCGUGGCCAGGGGGCCAUUCCCUUGACUCGUACUGAUGAGAAGUUUUUUACUCCACGAGAAAUUGAACAAAAAGCUGCCGAAUUGGCUUAUUUCUUGCGCAUACCAAUGGAAGUAUUUUGAGUACCAAUUGAAUUUUUUGAAAUGAAUUGAAUGAAGAAGAAUUGGAAGAAGAAAAGUUUUCUCAACACGAGGGAAAAGGUCCCUUCGAAAUUGCAUUAUUGUAAGGGGAUUUUGAGUAUUUAUCUAAAGGAAGGAACAAAUGAGGAUAAGAGAAAAUUGCUUCUAAUUUGUCCAAGUGGGAUAUAUGGAGUAAUAUUCUUCCAUUUUCAUCCGAAAGGACUUUUUUCUAUUUCUCUAUUCCACUCCAUCUAGAUCUAAGAAAGAACUCAAUGCAAUGAAAUUCUACUAUUAUAGAAAAAAGAGGAAUAGAUACAAGGUCUCAAACCUUGUUAUAGAAUUUUUCCUUCAAAGAAAAAGAAAUAUCAUAUAGAGUCAGCGAAUAAAGCGGAUUCAUUAACACCUCAAUUUACAGAUCAAAAAUGAAAAAAAAAAAAGAAAGCAUUGCCUUCUUUCCUAUAUCUUGUAUUUAUCGUACUUUUGCCUUGGGAAGUCUCUUUCUCUUUUAACAAAUGUCUGGAACUUUGGAUUAAGAAUUGGUGGAAUACCAGGCAAUCCCAAACUCUCUUAACUGCUAUUCAAGAGAAAAGAGUUCUAGAAAGAUUCAUGGAAUUAGAAGACCUUUUUAUCUUGGACGAAAUGAUAAAAGAGAAACCGAAUACACAUGUACAAAACCCCCCUAUAGGAAUACGCAAGGAAAUAAUACAAUUGGCCAAAAUAGAUAAUGAGAGUCAUCUCCAUAUCAUUUUGCAUUUCUCGACAAAUAUAAUCUGUUUGGCUAUUCUAAGUGGUUCUUUUUUUCUGGGUAAAGAGUAACUUGUUAUUUUGAAUUCUUGGAUUCAGGAAUUCUUCUAUAACUUAAAUGACUCAGUAAAAGCUUUUUUUAUUCUUUUAGUUACUGAUUUUUUUUGUUGGAUUUCACUCCACCCGCGGUUGGGAACUACUUAUUCGUUGGGUCUAUAACGAUCUUGGAUGGGUUCCUAACGAGCUAAUUUUCACUAUUUUUGUUUGUAGUUUUCCUAUGAUUCUAGAUACAUGUUUGAAAUUUUGGGUCUUUUUUUGUUUAAAGCGCCUAUCUCCUUCACUUGUAGUCAUUUAUCAUUCAAUUAGUGAAGCAUAAACUCAUUUGAUCUCCUGAUAUUAAUCAAAAUUAGCAUCCUUUUUUCCUUUAGAAAGAAAGCCUUUUUCCAUUUUAGCAAAAUUCUUUUUUUCUAUUUCUACCUGCUCAAGGUAUUCAUCAUUCCAGUACAACUAUUGAUAGAAUGACAACAGAUUCGUGUAUAGGGAACUAGAUUUUCCGGGAUCUAUGAUUGGACAUGGAAAAUAGAAAUACUUUUUCUUGGGUAAAGGAACAGAUGACUCGAUCGAUUUCUAUAUCGAUCAUGAUAUACGUAAUAACUCGGACAUCUAUUUCAAAUGCAUAUCCCAUUUUUGCGCAGCAAGGUUAUGAAAACCCACGAGAAGCAACUGGACGAAUUGUAUGUGCCAAUUGCCAUUUAGCGAAUAAGCCUGUGGAUAUUGAAGUUCCCCAAGCAGUGCUUCCCGAUACUGUAUUUGAAGCAGUUCUUCGAAUUCCUUAUGAUAUGCAACUGAAACAAGUUCUUGAUAAUGGGAAAAAGGGAGGGUUGAAUGUGGGUGCUGUUCUUAUUUUGCCCGAGGGAUUCGAAUUAGCGCCGCCCGACUGUAUUUCUCCUGAGUUGAAAGAAAAGAUAGGAAAUCUCUCUUUUCAGAGUUAUCGUCCCAAUAAAAAAAUAUUCUUGUGAUAGACCCGGUUCCCGGUAAGAAAUAUAGUGAAAUCAUCUUUCCCAUUCUUUCCCCCGACCCUGUUAUGAAGAAAGACGUUCACUUCUUAAAAUAUCCCAUAUAUGUGGGGGGAAACCGAGGAAGGGGACAGAUCUAUCCUGAUGGUAGCAAGAGUAACAAUACGGUCUAUAAUGCAACGUCAAUAGGUGUAGUAAGAAAAAUACUGCAUAAAGAAAAGGGGGAUAUGAAAUAUCCAUAGUCGAUGCAUCGGAUGGACGCCAAGUGAUUGAUCUUAUACCUCCCGGUCCAGAACUUCUUGUUUCAGAGGGGGAAUCGAUCAAGCUUGAUCAACCAUUAACAAGUAAUCCUAAUGUGGGAGGGUUUGGUCAGGGGGAUGCAGAAAUAGUGCUUCAGGUUCCAUUACGCGUUCAAGGCCUUUUGUUCUUCUUCGCAUCCGUUAUUUUGGCACAAGUUUUUUUGGUUCUCAAAAAGAAACAGUUUGAAAAGGUUCAAUUGUACGAAAUGAAUUUCUAGGUCCCGGGAUUUCUUAGCAUCAAGUUGGCAAAAAGCCGCGAUUUAUUGGCGAUUGCUAGAAUUCUCUAUGAUCCAUUUUGGAAAUCUUUUUUUAGUUUAGACUAUUUUUUGUUUGCGAGAUGUCUUGUCUGCAAUUCCUUAUUUCUAUCAUCUCAUGCAAAACGAGGAGAAUGCAAGGCAAGGGCGAGAACAAUAAAAGGAACAAAUCCUUUUAGGAGGGAUUGCUGGUCUUCUUAAUCCUCUAUUGGGCACAAGAAAAAGGCAAAAAGUCGAUUCUUCUUGUAUCGAAAUAUGAAUCUUUUUUCUUCCUAUUCGGCAAAGAUUACUAUUUCUUCUUUAUUUGGGUCUGUCUCUUGAACCUCUUUUGCUUAGGUUCAGGCAGGCGAUGUAGUGGACAAAAAGACGGAAAGAAAAUAUGGCGGGGGACAAAUUUUUUGUGACCAAAUAGAAUUGCUUGACUUGUUCAAUUAAGUUCAAUUUAGAACUUACAGAAAUUUUGCAAAAAAAAGGAUACUCUUCCAUUGAAGGCUGUUUUUUAUUUUUAGGCUAGUUGAGUAGUUUUAAUUAAGGUUUUAUUAGUUUAUUACUCUAAAUUAAAUCAAUGAUUUACAAGAGACUUCCUCCGGGGAAUAAAAUAUUGGAUCCUCGAUUGAUCCUUUCUUUCUCC
This 62205-nucleotide long non-coding RNA is filed under the name Oryza sativa (Asian cultivated rice). RNAcentral's name for it is "long non-coding RNA (OSAT_LNC000733)". Lineage: Eukaryota; Viridiplantae; Streptophyta; Magnoliopsida; Poales; Poaceae. The record is from RNAcentral.